AGUAGGGAAGCGCAGCACAUGCAUGCAUGCAUGCAUGUCCCUUCCGUCGAUCUACUGAAGUCAGUGCUGUCUCUGUCUACUAGAAAUGUUCGGUGUGUGUUGAUCUAUCUUAUAUUACUAGUGUACUACUCCAGAUCUGUUGAUCUGCCGCUAGCUAGUUCCUUCUGUCGAUCCUACCGAAGUUCCAUGUAAUGCCCAAGAAGAUGCUGUGUGUGUCAAGUUAUCUUAGUGUGCUCUGUUGAUUUGCAUGUCUCUUAAUUAUGAUCUGUGAUCUAGUAUAUCCUACAACGUCAGGUUGAAGAUGGAUCUAGCAUUUGUGUGCAGCACAUUUGAGGCUGAGCAUCCAGUGUUUUUUCCGGUUCUUUCUUGUGUGACAUUGCGCUGUAAGCAUUAAUUUGCCCGUUUUUCUGUCUGGGUUCUUAGGAGUGUGUGGGCCAGAUGAUCUGUCUCCUUUACGAAAAAGAAACAACUCGUCUUGAUUUCUCGCCUCCAUCUUCUUUUGUUCCUCUCUUUACUGCAGGACAUGUCGUGCUCAUCAGCUUCUCCUCCCUGGAGUAGUGGUUCUAGUUUGUUAACAAUCUCUUCAUAGUUUUGGACAGAUGAGAAAGCAAGGAUUAAUUUCUUUUCUUUAUUAACAGAUCUUUGUAAUGGUUGACAGUUGACACUCGGUUAGCAUGCAAACGUUUCCGAAACUCGGUUAGAAUGUUUGCAUCACAAUAUUGCCGAUGUUUCUUCUCUGAAAAGGAGCGAUGAAGAAAGAUGAAAAGGAUGAAUACACCGUAGUCACUGGCUACUAGCACCAUGCCACUUGCCUGUUUUGGUGACAUUAAAAUAUGUUUCUUAAUUCUAAAAUCAGUGCUUCUUUUCUGAAUGUAGACUUGAGGAUUGUAGCCGUAUAUUUUUCCUGCUCAGUCAUGCACUCAGUUUCCAACAAAGGAUUUGAUCCUGUGUAUUAUUGCUCUAAUUGUUAACUUCGAAAAAUGUAUCAGAUCCAUUGAGCCUCAACCACAAACAAAACAUGAACAAGACCGAAAGGCCAUAGAUGUUUAGUGCAUCAGCAUUGACUAGAUUGCUGAUGCUAGUGCAAGUGUGAGACUGUUAGAACUAUGCCCUGGAGGCAAUAAUAAAAGUUGAUAUUGUUUUAUGGGACAUUUACAUUUGUGCCCAUAACUGGAACCAACUACUCAUAUUUGCCCCUAAUUUCGAAGCAUACCCAAAUCUAUCCCUCUGUCGUUAGUUGCCCUUAUAGAACUGCCCUUUUGCGUCGUUACCGUCCGAUCAAAGGGCUUUGACCAUCUCGAUAAAAUUAGCAGAAAAAUCUGAAAUUUUGUGGGAUCAAAGAUAGUUAGGUGCUUGUCAAUUUUCUUGAUGUUUAGACAUACCAGGAGCAUGUGGCAAUGGAAAACAAUAAAUCUGUACGACUGUGAAUAGUAAAUUCAAAGAAAAUAGCAAGAAAAUUCAAAAAGUACGAAAUUUUUUGGCAUCCAAGAUGCUCGGAUGCGCAAGGUGUGUGCAAUUUUUUUUAUCAAAUGACAUGCAAGGAGCUCUAGCAAAAAAACAAAAUAGUGUAUUUGUUCAAAGUUUUUUCCGAGCCAGAUUUUGUUUUUUUCGCGCGCUCCUACAAUGUCCAAGCACAACAAAAUUUUGCACACACCUUGUGCACCCGAGCAUCUUGGAUGCCAAAAAAAUUCAUACUUUUUUGAAUUUUCUUGCUACCUUUUGAAUUUACUGUUCACAGGCGUACUGAUUUACUGUUUUUCCUUCGCCAUGAGCUCCUAGAGUGUCCAAACAACAUGAAAAUUUGCACGCACCUUGCGCACUUGAGUACCUUCAAUCCCACAAAAUUUCAGAUUUUUUUGCUAUUUUUUCGAGACGGUCAAAGCCCUUUGCCCGGACAUUAAGGGCGCGGAAGGGCAUUUCUAUGAGGGCAACUAAUGGCAGAGGGACAAAUUUGGGCAUGCUUCGAAAUUAGGGGCAAAUCUGACUAGUGGAUUCCAGUUAGGGGCAAAAAUGUAAAUGUCCCUUGUUUUAUUUGCAUGUUCGUAAUUAAGUUUAUAUUUCAAUGCUAGAAUUGCAUUGGUUUUUGAAAGUGAGAUUUAGAGGAAAACCAAAUUUCAUGUUUAGAGAUAUAAACGCGAAACAGAGUUAGACCUCUGGACUUGCUCAUGUAUUGUUGAUGGUUCUGCUUUCAUGGCCAUGUGCAUAGUUAACGUAACGAGGAUGAAAAAAAUGAUCAGAGCAUGUUGUUAGGGUAAUAAUGAUGUUGGAUAGAUCCAUCGUAUUGUAUAACGCGAGUUCGUGUUGUCAAUAUGUUGUAUGUUACUCUAUAACUGGGUAAUUAUAAAGUUAACUUUUGGUAACGCAAGGAAGUAUGUCGUGGUACUAGAUAUGUGAAGACUUAAACUUGCCCCUCCGGCGAUCGAUAUAUACACUCUCAGACCACAUGGUAUUACACUGUCUGGCAUCUCUUGACCAUGUAUUGUGACUAAGGAAUUAGUCAUGUGCAUCCCGAAAUACGAUUACAAGGAAAGAGUACAAACCUGUAAUGAGGAUAACUACGUAUAGUGAUCAAGUAGUUGUCACAACGAUACAAUCAAAGUCUCCCCUCAUGUUUGGUAACGUAUGGAGAGGGAAAGGCAAUUGCAUGCGAUAAAAAAAGUUUUUUUUAUAAAGAUCUACAAUGUUAUGUGGGGAUUAUUGUGCGUGUCCAGAUCUCACUAAUAAUUAUUGACUAGAAGGUGUUACAAACUUGUCCAUGUAGUCUUGAACCUAUAGGGUCACACGCUUAAUGAUUAGCAACAUAUAGGAGUAAUAUGUGAUAAUCAAGAACAAGAUAGAAGGGGUCCAAAAGUAUUUUGAUAAUAUCAAAAUUGUUCCCGGAGGUCCCGAGAGCGUCCCAGUGAUAUCAUGUAGUGUCUCAGAAUGUUCUGUAAGGUGGCGAAAGCUCCAAUAUGUUCCAAAAACCUUUUGAAAAUUCUGGAAGGAUCCUAAUGCCACCUACCCCCUGCCUUGGGGGCAAGGCGGCCCAUAGGGCCCAAGUCGGCCAACCCCCCUAUUUCUUGGGGGGGCAAACCAACAAAAGGGGUGUGCUCCUACAAGGACUCCACCUCCAUAGGUCGGAUGAAACCCUCACCCCUCCACCUAUAUAUAGGUGUGGGCGCAUCAAGAGAAGUUUGGUACACGCACUCACCCCUAUGGACACAUGUACGAACACCCUACACAUAUAAGCAGCUUCAAGAUAUUGAGGGAAUAACAUCUUGAGAUUAAUGCGAGCAUUAGUGUCAAGAACAUCACUUGAACCCUUGUGGGCUGACUUCACCACCAGGAACCUAACCAUCUAAGCUAUGUCCAUUAUUACCUAUAGUAUUGUCACAAAUAAGACAUCACUGAUGAAGUACCACAACAUGAACCUGAUGCGGCGAUACAUUGCUGUGCAAUCCACAAACUCUUGUCGUUUCAGUCCUGUCACACUGUCCUGAUUGUUCCACAAACCAACACAAAUCAGAGAAUAAACUCUGGAAAUCAGAAACACGAGUGCCAUAACCAAAAAAAAAUCACCCGAGCAAUAUUUAGCAAAUCCCUUCGGUACCAUUAUUUAGAUUGGAGCUUUUCAACUCCAUUUUGAGAUUGACCACAUUUAAAUUUGGACUUAUCAGGUGAUUAACUUUGUUUUUUUUUUGCUUGAGAAACACAAUGCAGACAUAGACACUCACAUAUAUGCAUGUACAAUUAUAACCCUAUAAAGACACACACCACUGGCACUUGGGCACAUAGGUGUCAAACAUGUAGUUUGAUCCAUGGUGUGCUAGGGGUACAACCAUCCGCCUAAUCAUCCAACCACAAAAUGAUUCUCGGUAUUGGCAUAAUUAUGGGUGGGUUUGCAAACUGAAAAAAAAAAGCAUGCUCUACCUUUGUCUAAUCAAACAGCUCGCCAGCCAAAUAAAUCUGGAAUGGAGGGAUAACAACGGUCGAUCCUAUCCAUCUUUAUCCAUGAGGUUUCAUCCUGAUGAUGAUAUAGAGCAUGUGGGUAAUCUCAAAAAAAAAUCUAUAGCAUGUGAGAUUUUAUCUUUAAUGUCCUGCUACCAAAGAUUUGCCAUCGUGGAUAAUUUCCUAAUUAGCAUCCUUAUAUUAGCCACCUUUGGAAUCCAAUAAUCUUAUUCUAAAUUUGGGAGCCUGUCUUAAAACUCAUCCUUAUCUUUGAGGAGUCAUCCGGAUGAUAUCAUGAUUUGACCACGAUUUUAUAUGGCACGUUGUUAAUGCUCCAAUUGAAUUCCUUCCAUCUGCGUUAUUCGGGAAACCUGCUGCUCAGGACUACAAAUAGGAGGGAGCGAGCAAGACAUCCAUACCACACUCGUUUCUCGCAUCACAAGGUCGUUGGCCCCGUAGCACAAGCGAGUUCAUCACAAAACCAGCUGCAAAGGCUCGACGGCGAUGGCUUCCAAGAUGGUCGGCGCCCUCUUGCUGGUCCUCCUGCUGGCGCUCAACCAGAGCGACGCCCAGGUGUUGCCGACCCCCUGCUGCAACCUCAAGUGCUGUGGGUACGAUUGCUGCGGGCCCCCGGUCACAGCCACGGCACCCAUUUCGCCAUUCUCCGCCGCCCCCGAAGCAGGACCGGCCGGCCCGGUUUCGCAGCGCGUGCUCCGCAAGGUCUUCCCCGGAAACUAGCGAUGUUCAGAUGCAUGUAGCGAUGCCCCCCGUGACGUAUGAUUCCAUUGCAAGUGUGCUACUGGCACCUAGCUAGUUUCGCUGGUAUUACGUAUUAUUUUUAGCUUGUAUUCCUGAUUUGUUCUGUUCCAUCGAAACAGCAAUAUAGGAGUUUAUAUCCUGCAGUAGCAUUCCAAUUCUACAGCUAUAAUGUGUGUGCAAUGAUAAACCAUGUUCGAAACACAAAUAAUCCACCCAUCCUUCAGAAGAACAGAACGCAUAAUCCUCCAAUUAAAUCUGCCGAACCUGAAUCAGCUAUAGCUGCUCUAGUCUGGAUCAGUCCUUCAUCUCGGCUGCCUUCUCGUCUCCCAGAACAAUAUUGUUUCCUAAAAAGUAGUCAUACAUGUUCCCUUUAGGUGGACAAAAUUCAUAACCGGUUUAGCAACUGCGCCUACUAAAAAUAGCUUAGGAUAGGUUUUUACCCCUUUUUCUUGAAAAAAAUAUAUUUUUGAAUGUGGCCUCAGUGCUCAUACAACCAUAAGGCGUUUGAAUGUGGUCAAUCCCAAGGUUUCCCCAAAAAAGUUUUUGUCGAAGUGUGCAUGCGAGGUUAUAGAUUGUUUUGUCCCUAAUGUGAUUUUGUUGAUGUGUUGAUUUCCAAUCUGGAUCUACAUCGGUACGAAACAAAGGCGAAUUGUGAGCUAUUGAUUAAGGUUGCAUACUAAAUAACACUUAAAAAUGUUUCACAGCUAACCAACAUCAUUUGAAAAUUCUACACAUUUUUCUAAUCAACUUUUCAUAUAUAACAUGUCAAAAUUGAAGUUACGGUUCUUAAGUUAUUGAUACUUUUAAAAAGUAUUUGAAUCUGCCCCCAAAAUAUAAUGUUAUUUUCUAGAUGGACUAAGGGUUUAUUAAAUGAAAUAUCAGGGAGUUUUAUACAAAAAGUAAAACAUUUUCUGGUGUCACUUAAAACAGGAUUGUGGGUUUACCAUUUUCAUUGCAAAAAGCUUUUUCUUUGCGGGAUGAUAGCCAUGCACGUUCCCUUUAGAUGGCCCAAAUUUAUGGCCGGUUUAGGAACUACGCCUACUAAAAAUAGCUUAGGAUGGGUUUUAACCUUUUUUUUCUUGAAAAAAAAUAUGUUUUUGGUUCCUCAAAUUUGCCGAAAUUAUAGAUCUGGUCCGUCAAAAAAUGUAGAAACAAAACAUAUAAUUUAAAAAAGUUAAUCAUAUACUCCCUCCGUCCCAAAAUUGUUACAUCCGUAUCUAGACAAAUCUAAGACAAGAACUUUGGGACGGAGGGAGUAUAUAAGAAAGGUCAAAACUAUAUGUAAAAUGUUUUAGAUGUAUACUAAAAAUGUACAAUAUAUGAAAACAAUAGUUAUCAAAACAUAUAUCUGAAAAAAUGGUAAUCAUUUAUUUGAAAAAAUGUUAAACAUAUAUUAAAAAAUGUUUUACAUAUAACUAAAAUGUUUGAUGUAUAAAAAAUAUAUAAUAUGUACAAAAAUGUAGGCAUGUGUUUAAAAAAUAAAAAUAAUAAGAAAGAAACAAAGAAAACAGAAAAGGAAAACAAGAAAAUCGGAGAAAAAGUGCAAAAAAGAAAAGGGAGACAAGAAAAAAUUUGGGAAAAAAUGGAAAGGAACAAAGCAAAGAAAACGAAGAAACAAAUCAGUGAAAAUCGAGAAAGAAACAAAUAAAAUGGUAAACCGCAAAGUAAAAAAGAACAACAAAGAAAACCGACAAAGAAACAAAUAAAACUGGAGUAAAACAAAGAUAAAAAGUUGAAACAGUGAAAACCGAUGCAAAAGCAGUGAAAAACAACCAAAAACAAAAGCAAAGAAAAACAGUAAGGAAACAACAGAUAAACCGAGAAAACCAGUAAAGAAAACAAGAAACCAAAGCAGGGAAAAAUCGAAACAAAACAACAGCGACCAAACGAAACGCAUGACCGGGAAAACAGCAACGCCCGAAUGAAUGUACUUAGCCGACGCAUACGCGUGGGUGUUGUGGGCGAGGGGAGCUACCAUCUCGCUAUAAGUGAGAUAUAGCUUGUGCGGAAUUUUCUUACUAAACACUAGUAUUCCUCCCGACGCGUUGCGACCCUAUUCGCUGUCCAAUAGGCUUUGUAAAUAAUUAUUCUGGUUAUAAAAGCAUACGGGAAAUAGAGGAUGCUCCUUCAUCUCAAUAAAAGUGCUCAUAUGGCAGGCCCACGUGCCAAAGUGAAUUUUUGAAAUAUUCUUCUUUAUUUGAUUAAGUAGAGGGAAUCUACUGUUAUCACCCUUUGCAUGCAUGAAUUCUCUUGUGGAUAGAGUCGGGCGCACCAUAAGACUAAAAUGGGCACACGCCCCAAACAUUCAUGAUGAAAUUUGAAUGGUAGAAAACCAAAGUACUCCUUCCUUUUUAUUUACUCUGCAUAUUAGGUUUAACUAAAGUCAAACUUAAGUUUGACCAACUUUACAAAAAAAUAUACUUUUACCUUAAUGAAAAUAUAUGAUGUGAAAGUACAUUCAAUAGUGAAUCUAAUGGUAUUAAUCUGUUAUUGUAUAUGUUAAUAUUUUUUGGCCGUUUUUUCCUUACUGCUUUUCUUUGCUCGAAACUUCUAUUGCACACUGGCACUUGAUUUGUUUAUAAACUUUGUCAAAGUUUAUUAGCUUUGGUCCAUAUUAGCUUUUGUUCAACCCAGCUCGAAACUUCACUUGAACACCGGCACUUGCUUAAUUUUGCCUGCUAUGAAGUUAGAUACUGAACUAUGGCAGGAUAUUUGCACAGUUCUGUGGUAUUGAGUCUAUGAGAUUUUGCAGAUGGUGCGAUAUGGCUUCAAUCUGAACGUCCCUCCAUAUCCGUGAGAGUAGGGAAUCUCUAGCUGUGAACACUACCUGAAUCAUACCCUACGCCGCGGCAAAGGGCCUAAAACACUCGGCAAAGUCUUUGCCGAGAAUUGUUCUCGGCAAAGUCUUUGCCGAGAAUUGUUCUCGGCAAAGGCCACUCGAUGUCCCACGUCCAACGCCGAGUGGAUGCUUUGCCGAGAUCUCCUCUCGGCAAAGCUAACGAUUAGCAAACCAGCCACGUGUCCACCACCUGACUGGCGGGUCCCACUACCUAUGCCGAGCAUCAACUUUGAAGAUUAUACAAUUUCCACUUUACCACUAUUUAUAAAAAUGUAGUCAAUGUUAGAAAAGUUUGACUGUGUCAUUCUACAAAGUAUAUUCUUUCACUAUGGCGAAUAUAGGGGGAACUGCAGAAUCCUCAAGCAGGAUUUUCAUGGGAAAACCCCAGCUUUCCUCUGGUUCUGUCAUCCUCUCGAUUCCUGAUUGUGUGGGCAUGAUUCAUAACAAGAGCAUCCUUAUGUACUCCUCAAGGACGGGGAGCGUCUGCCCUUCGCCGUAGCCAAAGAGGACCCUCACCAUCCUCGCGAGGUUUAGCGAGAUCCGGGUCAUGCUGGGCGGGAAUGUCCUCCUGGAGAAGCACUCCCUGUUGAGCUCCCCCCACUCACUCUCGAUCAGCGCCAGCAUAUGCCCCUUCGCGUCGCCACCGGGGUUCUCUUUCAGGUACAACUCCUUGUAUGAUCCGUCCAGGCCAUCUUGCGCUUCGUCCUGCAUGGUGCAAGAAUGGUGAUCAUGUUAUGGUAUCUUAAACCAGUGGGGCUAAGAUUCAUUAGAAAUUCUAGGUUUCUAAUUAAGCAGGGGGGUAAUUUCAGCAGUUGGAAUCUGACCUUGGCACUGCCCAUGUCAUCCCAAAGUCUCAAGAUCUUUGACGGGCAGGAGAUUAUCGGAGGGAUACGGCCGGCCGUGAGGUUUGUAGCAUCCCUUGUUGGAUCAUGUCCUAGCAUGGAAAAGAGAUGCACAAGUGCAAGUGGUCCUCCUGUAGUGAUGACGCCGUUCGAUAGGUAGUCAUCUAGGGAAGGAACAUGAUUAGCAGACAACCAUUUCGCCUCAAGCAAAAAUGCAUCGAAAAGCAUGGCCCACUGCAAAAGAAAAAUGAAUUCACUAUUUUCAGUUGAUUAUUAUUUUCCUUUUUUUAAUAUAUUUAUACAUGAACUUAAAUAUUCUCAAAUAUUAUAUAUUGGAUAGAUACAUAUGUUGCUCGUCCAACAAACAAUUUAGUUGGUUAUCUAGACAAAUCAGGAAAUCUAAAAGAAUAAAGAUAUUCCAAGAGACAUACAUCUUUUUUGAGAUGAUCAAUAGGGUUCAGCCCAUGUUCUCUUUCAGCCAUAUCUGCGAUGUCAUUUGUGAUUGUAUAAAGAGAACUGUAGCAUGAUCUCAUGUAGCUUGGAAGUGAUGCAGCAGCUGCAAGAUCCCACCUGUAAGAAAUGCAUUUUCUAACAUGAAAUUUCGGUUACACAAUACUGACAGUUACUGUUGAUCAUAAACAGCGAGAUGAAUUUAUAGUAGCCAGAAAGGAAAAGCCUACGUUCUGAUUGCCUCGGUGAAGCGAGAAAGCUCCUCUUGUGUUGCAACAACAUCAAAGAUGUCAUCCACAAUACUGACAAUUGCAAUGAUUUUGGUUAUCUCAAUCCGGUAUCUGGAGAAGGAUUGCCCCUGGAGGAUAGUCAUGGGAAACAUGUACCAUUUAAGAAUUUGGUCACGCGUAGCUGGUAUUUCUUGAGCCAAUCCCAGGCCCAUCCACCAUCUGUCACAAUGACAUUUAGAAGUUAAAGAAGAAAUUUGUCAAUACCCCCAAAGAUAGGUAUAAAAUGGAGAAUGUUAUCUAAUGUGAAGAUGGUAAAUCAACUUGGAAGACAGAUUAGGUACUAAUUUUCAACUCAGUGGUCUUUGUGAUGGACCUGAGAAGAAACAAAUGCUCUAGCCACAUUCCUCUUCUGGGAGCUGCAGAUAAAACAUAAAGUUUGCAAGGAAUGAACUUAUAUAUGUACCUCUUAACCUCUUGCAUUUCCAUCUGAUGCUGCAACUUGUUAAGCUUGAAGUCUGCAAGUGCCAGCUCCUCCAUUGCAGUGUUCCGAGUGGGCAAGCUCUGGAGAUAGCUCAGGUGGUGUCUAGCCUUGUACUGCAUCAGGCUCACAUGGUAGGGAUGAUCCAGUGAAUGCCUCACAUAUCUUGCAAGGUUUAGGUCCAAGUGUUUAAUUGCAGAAGUGAGGUGUUUCCUUGAGAAGUCAUUUGCCUUGUAUAGUGAUGCUUCUCCCAUGUUCAAGUGUGAUAUGUCCUGCAAGCUGAGCAACCCUCUGAUGUCUUUGGUAUGAUCAACGUUGAAGUCCUCGUUUUCAUUGACAAACUUUUGAAGAACCUCAUCUACCACAUCAAGGAUAAAGGUUUUUAGGAAUAUAAACUGUGGUUGCAAUAACAGGGCGAAAAUAAAUUUUACUUUCAGACACACAAGGGGUUGAGACAAGGGGAUUCCAUGUCUCCUCUCCAAUUUAAUAUAGUGGCCGAUAUGUUGACCAUUCUUAUAGGCAGGGCCAAGCAAAACGGUCAAGUGGAUGGGCUAGUACCUUGUUUGGUCGAUGGGGGAGUCUCCAUUUUACAAUAUGCUUACAACACUAUCUGUUCAUGAAACAUGACAUUGCAAAAGCGCAAAAUAUGAAACUCAUAUUAUGUCUUCGAACAUUGUCUGGAUUAAAAAUAAAUUUUCACAAGAGCGAGUUGUUCUGCCUUGAAGGCCAAAGAAGAGCAAGACACAUAUAGACAAUUGUUUGGGUGUGAAUUAGUUUCUUUACCUUUCAGCUAUUUGUGCAUACUGAUUCAUCACCGUAAGAUAUCUAAUAAAGAAUGGAAGUGCAUUGAAGAUCGAAUUGAAAAAUAGCUUAGUUGCUGGAAGGGCAAGCUAAUGUCGUAUGGAGGUCGGCUAGUGUUGAUAAACUCAGUACUUACUAGUAUGCCGAUGUUCCUAUUAUCUUUCUUCGAGGUACCAAAAGGGGUGUGGAAGAGACUUGACUUCUUUAGAUCUCGAUUCUUCUGGCAGUCAGAUGAGGCCAAGAAGAAAUACCGUCUCGCACGAUGGGAUAUUCUAUGCCGACCCAAGGACCAGGGGGGUCUCGGUAUUGAAAACCUGGAAGUUAAGAAUAAAUGUCUUAUGAGUAAAUGGCUCUACAGGUUAGAGACAGAGCCGGAGGGUAUGUGGGCAUAGAUAUUACGCAAUAAAUAUCUACAAUCAAAAACGCUAGCCCAGGUCACCGUGAGACCAACUGACUCGCCAUUCUGGAAGGGAUUCGUGUGAACGAAAGAUUUGUUCUUUCGUAGGGUCAAAUUCGUGGUUGGCAAUGAGAUGUCAACAAGAUUUUGGGAGGAUACGUGGUUAGGGGAGACGCCACUAGCCAUACAGUACCCCACCCUAUAUAACAUUGUGCAACGUAAGGAGGAUUACAUAGGCACCAUACUUCAAUCGACUCCCUUGAAUAUUCAGUUCAGACGUGCGUUAGUUAGUGAGCGAUGGACUACCUGGAUGCACUUGGUCCGGAGAUUGAUAGAUGUUCAACUAUCCGACCAACCAGAUUCGAUGCACUGGAAGUUAGCCAGAAAUGGGGUGUUUACGGUGAAAUCUUUUUACAUGGAUCUGACUAAUUCUGGACCAAUCUUGAGAUCGUUACAUAUUUGGAAGGUUAAGGUUCCCUUGCGUAUUAAAAUAUUUAUGUGGUUCAUUCACAAACAAAUGAUCCUAACCAAAGAUAACUUAAUAAAGAGGCGGUGGGUAGGUAGUUCACGUUGUUGUUUUUGUGAUCAUGUUGAAACAAUACAACACUUAUUCAUAGAGUGCCCAUUCGCGAAAUUGCUUUGGAGAACGAUCCAUAUAGCCUUUAACAUCACUCCUCCAGUUGACAUUGAAUUGUUAGUUGGGACGUGGUUAGCUGGGGUGGAGCAUAUUACUGCGAUUGAUAUUCGGAUUGAAAUAUGUGCGCUUCUUUGGGCUAUAUGGAAUUGCAGGAAUGAUAUGAUUUUUAACAGACAACCUAAUCUAACUUUCUUGCAGGUCAUCUUCAGAGCUACUGUAUGGAUCCGUACGUGGUCCUUACUCACUCCUACGGACUUCAGGGAGCCUUUGGUUACUAGGUGCAACCAGUGGGAGAUGGUAGCACGGGCUAUAUUCAACCAGUUCAGAUGGCGGUUGCAUAACAAGAUAGGAGUCUAGGGAGCUUGUCCUUUACAUUGUCAUACCUGUUGUAAUAUUGAACAUUCGCUUCUUUUUUCCUUUUUCGCUCCGCUUGCGAGCUGUAAUACUUUUAUGACUUUGUGCUACUUCGAGACUUCUUAAUAAAAUGGCUGCAUGCAUCAUCCGAUGCGGAGGCCGGGGCCGAGCCUCCAUUUUCAAAAAAGGGCAAAAAUAAAUUUAAUUCGAUAUGUGGAUUAGUCACAACUAGCUAGAACAACUUCUGGACCCUGACAAAAAAAGCGUACUAUUCUGCAUGACAAAUUCAUGACCAAUGAAUCAAAAGCCCUCGAGAAGGUCGCAAAUCCUCAGAGUUCCCACAUCCUCUAGACCAGUCAUUCCUCUACGCAAGGUCAGUCACCACUCACCACGCACCACCACAGGAGAGUGCCAGCAAGCCAAGAUUUUAGGUGUGACAGCCAUUGCCGAGAAGGAACAUGCCCCACAUGGCAAAGUUUUUUAUCUUUUUAUAGUAAAUUAUGAUUUUGAACUAUCUUAUAAAUCUUGUACUGAAUUUGAAGACCAUGAACAGUAAAAAUGACUUGGGCCCAUGAACACCGUAAACAAAAUGAGGGAUCAUUUCUAUACUAUCGAAAAAUAUAUGAUAAGUGUACUAACCUGCUGAAAUAUCAUAUCCAUCUUCUCUCAGUAGCCUGAAGGAAAGUGUUGCAUCUAGUAGAUCAUCACUGUCAACAAGAUUCAAGCACGCAUCCAUGCCAUCAUUGAUCUCGUUUUGGAAAUAGUGGUCGAUGCAGAGGCGCUUGAGGUGAUCAAUAUCAGUCAUCACCUUCCUCUUUUCCUUAUGGUUUUGAUGCAGCAUUUCCUUAACACUCUUCAGGCCCUCCUGUUAUUCCAUGGAGAGAGAAAAAAAAUUAAAAUGCAAAAAUGGGAGAUAUGGGAGACUUUAUGUUUCACUUUGCGAGGCUAAUUCUUCUAUUCAUCAAAGGGGAAAAAACAGGCUACUUUCCUAUCUUCUCCAAGGCUUAUAGCAGCGCAGUUAGUCAGUUCUUUUCCGAGUAAUUCAGUUAGUCAGAAAUUUAAAUGGUUAGAAAAAAUAUAUCUAAUUCAAUAACAAGCCUUAAAGUCACAUUGGAGAACUGAUGGUGAUGUGAAUAAAUUUCUACCAAGAAUAAAAGCUCUCAGUUCAUCUUGGUAGUCCAGAUAAAUAGGGGGUGUCUGCUAAGUCCAGAUGAGACGUGCGGAGGCUGGUUAAGCCGGAGAAAUAGAAAAACUAGGGCGUUUGAGCGCCAGGGGUACGCGGCUAAGUUUUUUUUACCGGAGCUGGGAGCUACCUGUGGAGAAUCUACCAUUCACUUGGUUUCUCUGAGAUUCGUGCCAGCCUUUUGUGUAUAAAGUAAAAAUAAUUUGCUAUGCAAUACAGACAUUAGACAAAGGAAUACAUCUAUGCAUGUGAGAUGUGUGACAACUUUUGAUGUGACAGGACUGGGUGACUGAUGAAGAGGACGGCGCAUGGGUUCUCUGCCCCAAACAAAAUAGUUGCAUUUUAUUUCCUGGUCAUAUUUUGAAUGGUUAAUAACUAUGAACCAAAUUUCAGUAAUUGAAUUUUUUUUGUACAUUUGAAGUCAGGGUGAUAAGACCUUUAAAACAAGACCGGUCUUGAAUACAAUUUGGCUAGAUUGAAUUUUACUGUUUCAAUUAGUUUCACAUUGCAAAAAGUACGAUUUUAUUCAUUUCAAUAAACAGAGUUUACUCAUUCCAAAAAAAAUAUUUCACUACUUUGAAAAUACAGAUUUCACUCAUUUACAAAUUGAUUUCAUAUAUAUAUCAAUAAGCUGGUAUAUAAUUUUUCAGAAAUAUAAUAUUUCAAGAAACUAAUUUCAGAAAACAUAUUACGCUCACUCAAUUGAAAUACUAUAUUUCACUUGUUUCAAAAAAGUGAUUUCACUCAUUACAAAAGAUAGAUUUCACUCAUUUUAGUAGUUUCAGAAAACUACUACACUCACAAUAUACACACUGAAAUAAGCGGUUUCCCUGAUUUCACUCAUUUGAAAGUACAAUUUUUGCUUGUUUCAUUUGAAAAGAAGUGCUUGAAUUAUUUCACUCAUUUUAGAGGACCGAUUUCAGUCCUUAUAAAAGAUUGAUUUUCAAUCGUUUUGACUUAAAAUAUAUGUUUCAAUUCCUUGAAAUGAUUUAUAUCUAUGAACUUAUGAAUUUUAUUUUUUGGACUAAGUGAAAUCUAUAAAACGAGAUAUUUUUUUGAGAAUGUGAAACACCUUAUUUUUAAAUCUAGUUGAAAAAUAUUCAAUAUUGAACUUGUUCUGUAUAUCAUGUUGCAAGGAAUUUGAAUAUAUAUAAAAAAUUCAGUAAUGGAUUUUUGUGAAAGACAGUGACCAUCUAAAAUUGUAAGCAAAAAUAAAAAGAUGCAUUUGUUUGAAAGGGCAGAGAGAGGAAAGAAGUUGCAUGCAUGCGUACGGUAUGCUGACAGAAGUAGUACCUGUAGCUGACAUACUAGUGCAAAGUGGUGAAAAGAGGUGGGCCAGCCAUCUGACAUACAACAGUGUUAUACAAGAGGUGGGUUAUGAAAAUAAAAAUGCUAUACUAGAGGUGGGCCACAUAAAUGCACGAAACGCAAACAAGACGAACGAUGGAUGCAUGGUUUGCCGGUACCUCCAGGAACCGGUAAAAAGAGGUUUGCGCGGGGGUACAUCGCCCCAAAAAAUUUCUCUUGUCUCGUGCACUUAUUCUUCUACCUUCGUAUAGGGUUAGACCCAACAGCCCAAACUUCGCGUGCCCAUGGCCACGAGGAACGAGGACGGCCGCGCGUUGCUGAUGGCCAGGAGGGGGGACUCGAUAUGGAGGAGAGGGAGGGAGGACGAGGAGACCGCAUAAGGCGCUGGAUUUGAGAGAGGAGAGAUUUUGGGGAGAUGAGACGGGAGAAUGGAUUUGUGUGAUUUGGAAGAGUCGAGGAGAAAGUGAGGGGAGAACAAAGAAUAGAAACCAAGGGGGAGAUAUUUUCUUUUUCUUUUUUUUAAAUCAAGAUAUUCUCUUUCUACUGGUGAUAAGGGCAUCUUCAACGGUGAACGCUUGUUGAGGCUUUUACAUGAUAGGAAAUGUACGGGAAAUGAUUGGGAUCAGCCGACGGAUAACGACGCGUGUGAUCCACCGCCACUGUGGCCGUUAGAUCAGGUUUUAAUCAGAUGGCUAGAAGCAACGUAUUACCUAGACUAGUUUUUGCAACUAAAGUCGUUCUUGCAAUCUCCCCCGCCGCAAAAACUGUUGUGUUGUGGGAUCUGGAUCCCCUCGACAUUGGCCACCACCCGUGCACCUCGCAAGAUCCCCAUCAAGCCAACUCUGUCUCGUGCUGCUUCGACCGCCGUCAUCGACGUUCGCCACCGGCAGCAUGCCGACAAGGUCGCGGGCGUGACCGCAGCCGUUGCCGCCCACCUCCACCAUGAAUGUUGGACGUCCUGGUGCGCCCGAACUCAAGCUGCAUCCCGCCGCCCAGUGGGAGCACCAGCAUCUGUGUCCUUGGGGGGGAGUUACGUCCACCUUCGCCCCACCGUCCCGAAGGAGCACCAGCCUUUCCUUAGGUCGACAUGGUCGAUGCUCUCUACAACCAGUUUCAGCAAUAAGGUAUGUUGCAAAAAAAAACUGUAACAAGACCUAUGUUGCAAAAUAAAUAGAUUUCAACAAGACCUUUGUUCCAAAAAAAAAUGCAACAAGACAUCUGUUGCAAAAAAACUGUAACAAGACAUAUGUUGCAAAAAAUAAUCGGCAACUUGAGCUAUGUUACAAAAAUUUCCGUAACAUAACCCCAACACGACAUGUGUUGCAAUGGUAGAAGGUUAAUCUUGGGCGCUCCAGAUUUGACGGCUCGUAAGGCGGCAGAUCUUUUAAAAAGAUCCAUGGGCCGACUGUGUAGGGUGUCCAUCCCUCCAACGCCAAUAGCAAUCUAUAGAUGGCCCAUGAUUUAUGAAAAAAGAAAAAAAGAAAACAGAAGCGCUCGAUGCCUUGCGCGGCAUUGACGCAAGCGAGAUUCCCUGUCUAGGGUGGGAAUCGGGCAUAACUGCCGGGAAAUCAACCUUGGUGUCGAUCGUUAGCAUCCGCGUUGUAAAUGCCCUAGGAGGAUGGAUUUGACCCUAAAGAAAGAUGGAUUUGGAUUUGGUUCCAGAUGUUACAAAUUUCUGUUUGGAAAUUCGGGGCCGCUCCAAUAUCCGAAAUUUGAAAAGAGUUUCAGAAAACAUAAUUCAAAAGAAUAAAAUAUGACCAAAAUCCAGUAGAGUUUUUGAAAACCGUGCAUCUUUGGUAAAAUGAAUCAUGUUCAUUGGAAGGGUCAACUUUCCAAGGGGCGUGCUAUUUGGCGGGCGCCCGCCAAAUUCCAUACUCAGCGGCCAAUCAAGUUUAGAAGUGAAUUUUUUCUUCAAAAAAAGUUUAGAAGUGUUUUUUGUUUAUUAUUGAAAUAAUAAUUGACAGAAAUAAAAGUAUUUUGGUUGUUUUUCUGUGAGGAAAUUUUGGUUGGGCUUCAUAGAUUCGCUAGUAAAAUCCUUCCAAAUAACAACCGUGUAAGCGAUAGUCUGGUUGCAUACCCCUUCGCUCUUGUACGCCAGGGCACCCUAUGCGCCUCCGUCGAUCGAUCUCGUGGUCUUAGUUCCAAGGAAGCGCGGUGGAUCUCGGCAGUUGCCGGCGGGAGGGCUUUGUUUUCAGAUGGUUUUUUAGUUUUGUUAGGCUUUGUGUACUACUCGGAGAGGGGAGGCGACGGCUCUCAGAAGAUGGAAUAAGGUCCUCCCAGCCUAACCCUCAUCUGGGUGGUGUUUCUAGCAUCAUCGAAGGGCAUGUGAAGGUUUCUCUCUGGCGGAUCUCAUGGGAUUAAGUCGGUGUUUGUCUUCCUGGAUCCACGUGGAUACGAUCUUCAUUCGUUUGUGUUCAUGUGCCUGCAAGUUGGAUCCUUCUGAUCUACACAUCUCUUCAUCGGCGGCGGUUGUUGACCUAGUGCGCUGGUCCAGUGGGGCUUUAUCAUGACGACUUCCCGACUGUCUACUACAACAAGAUUUGUCUGCCUCCCAUGAGGGAGGGGCGAUGACGGCGGCAUGCCUUCGGCUUGUUCCAGUGCAUGUAGUCGUCGCUAGGUGGUCUACGAACCUGGGUGUACUUUUUACUUCUAGUACUAUGUACUACGUUAACAGUUCAUGAAUAGAUUGAAAGUUUUUCACGCAAGAAAACCGUGUAAAAAAACAAAGUAUUGCAACCAGCGGCAGCUAGUAAUUUUUCUUAUUUUAGCAUAUAUGUAGUCUCUCUGUUCACGGAUAUAAGAUGUUUGAACUUUUACUGAGUCGGGUGUAUAUAGACAUCAGGGACGGGCCCAUAGUUGUGCGGGACUGUAUGGCCCACACAGGGCCCAUAGAUUUUGGGGGGCCCAAAUUGGUAUAAGGCCUAUGUAUAUUUUCUUCCUGCCGCGUCCAAGCGGCCUGCUCGAUGCCCCCCAAACGGGAUCCAUCGCAUCCUAUCCAGAGCUGGAGUUCCUAUGCGCCGCUCGUUGCGUGAAAAAUCCCCAAAAAGUCUGCUCGAGGGAGGGAUCAAACCAGGGACCUCCUGUUGCUUAUGCGCGAGCCUAGCCAACGGGAUAGAUGAGCUUCUUCGUGUACUAUGGCGUGUGAAGCUAAUGGUAAUAUAGAUCCGAGCAUUUUGUCAAAUUCUGAAGGCGAACAUUAUUUUGGAAAUAUGUUUUUUCAAAGGGACCACUUUUCAACUUUGAGAAGAAGAAAAAAAGCUCGAACAUUUCUUGAUAAACUGAACACUUUUUUGAAAAUGGCGAACAUUAUUGAAUAUGUGAAUAAAUUCUCAUUAAAGGCGACAUUUUUUGAAACUCUGGACAAUAAUUUGGAAACACGAAUAGUUUUGGAAUCGGUCAACAAUUUUUGAAACAAGAACAUUUUUUCAAACUCAGGACAAAAUUUGAAAAUGAAAACAUUUUAUAAAAUUCGAACAUUUUUUAAAAUUUUGAACAUUUUUUUAGAAAUAUGAACAGUUUAUCAAAUCAAGAAUGUUUUUUAGAACUCUGAUAUAUUCUAAAAAGGAAAAAGGAACAGGAGAAAAUAAGCAGAAAAACGAGAAAAGAAGAUGAACAUUUUUCAAAUUCGUUAGCAUUUUUUAAAAAGUCGAACAUUUUUUGAAAUUCCCAAACAAAAUUAGAAACAGACACAUUCUUGAAAGUUACGAACAAAAUUUGAAAUAGAAACAAUUUUUGAAACAACCAAAUAAAAUUGGAAAACAUGAACAUUUUUCUCAAAUUUGCGAAUGAAUUUUGAAAGAGGAACAUUUUUUACGAACUCCUAAACAAAACUUGAAAAUAUGAACAUUUUUUGAAUUUUGUGAACAAAAUUUUAGAACUAUGAAUAUUUUGAAUUUGUGAACAAAAUUUGGUAAGUAGAAUAAAAUUUUGAAAGAAAGGAAUUUCGAUAGCAUGAGCAGUUUUUAAAAUUGAAGAAUUUUUUUGAAAAUUUAGAACCUUUUUAAAAAUCUCAAACGUUUGGAAAUUCAAACAUUUUUUCAAUACAUGAACAAUAUUUUGAAAACCGGAACACAUUUUUUAAACUUUGAACAUAUUUUUUGAUAAGCGAACAAUUUUUUUAACUUCAAAAAUUUUUGUAAAGAACGAAUAGUUUUUACAUGCAGACAAAAUUUUAAUAGUUUGAAUAUUUUUAAAAUUAUGAAAAAUGAAAAACUGAAGAGGAGGAAAAAUAAAGAAAAGAAACAGAAAGAAAAGGAUGAAAAAAGAAAACUUGUAAAGGUAGAAAAGGAAAAGAUAGAGAAGAAAUAAUAAACAGGAAAAAGGAAAAAAAAGACGAAACAGAAACAGAAAAAAAGUGUUAGGAAGCUUCUAGAAGGUUCCCAAAACCGGAAAAAACGGCUGGGAACAAGCGAGAAGGUUCCUAAAACCGGAACAUCGAAACAUUUUACAGGCCGGCCCACGCGCGAACCCUCGAUCGAUCUCCCUGUGCGUCCGCCGGACAACUUGCGGCAGCGAGCGGCAUUCCAUCCAGAGGCAGCCAACGAUUGCCGCCCUCAAAAGAUUCAGCGUAGCGCUGGGUUUUUUUCCGCACUAAUUAUGUGUUGUACUAUGGCAGAAGAUAUAAUUACUUUAUGCCCAGCCAUAAUUACCUUCAUGUGCUGUGUACUGAAGCCCAAAACAGCCCACGCGCAUUAUCCUGUAUUUAGGCCACUGUGGUAAACUGUACUUUCAUUUGUAUGUUUGGCUUGUCUAAAAAAAAUUGUAUGUUUUCCAAGACCUAGCGUCCAUCUAUUCCGCGCCGCCGUCGCUGCCCUGUCGGUUGCCUUGUGAGUUGCCGGAUGCCACCUACACACCGCCGUCAUGGUUCGUCCAUCCUACACUGGCAGCAGUGCGGUGCGAGUAUUCAGUCCGCAGAUCACUGUAUUGUAUUGGCGUAUCCGUUUCUUGAGCAGUUAGAUCUAUAGGUAUGUAUUAAGUACUAGUUUUUAUUAUGUUGGUGGAUUUCAAUCCAGUAUUCUAGUGAUCUCGUUUACUUGCAUAUAAGACAACAGGUUAAUUCACAAAUUAGGUGUGUCGCUUUUCCAUAGUAGAUGACUUUGAUUAAUUUGGCAAAUCACAUGAUCACUUAACCCAAAUGAAAUUGCUGCAAUAGACCCCAUGGUCUAAAGUCAAUCUAAUAAUAAAGAUUCACAAGGAUCAUUUUCCGUGAAGUUUUAUCUAUUGCGUGGUCAUUCUCUUCCCUCAACCCCUUCAUGUUUAAAUCCUGGCUCCACUUCUGCGCUUGAGAGCAAAGUGUUGAAGAAGAUUAAUUACAAGGAUAUCAUUGAACAUUUCAUUUCAAAGAAUACUAAAAGAAUGACUUGUUCAAAUAAAUAUCAGGCAACCGGGAGUUGAAUAGGUAUGCUUUUUUACACAUCCAAUUGCUAUGUAAGACAUUAUAUCAUAUACGUUAUAUUGCUCAUUAGUUUAUUUUAGUGAGAUGGGGCCCCAUUUUUUAGUUUCGCACAGGGCUCUGGAUUUUGCCGACCCAGCCUUGAUAGACAUGUUCUAAUGUGUUUGUUCAGUCAUUUUAGUCUGUACAUAGUAAUAUUAAAAUAUCCAGAACAUCUCUUAUAUUUAUGAAGCGAGUGAGUACUAGUUAUGUAAUGUGUCUAUUACCGGUGCUCGAGUGUCUGAGUGUUAACUUGGAACCCACUAAGAUGAAUUUCUAGACCCGUCGCUUAUUGCAACGUUAGAUUGAAUCAAUAGAUAAUGAUAUUCUUCUCGCCUAGCUCAUCACCGAGACAUUCGAUUUAAAUAAUCUUGUAUCCUUAUUAUUGGCACAAACGCAAUCAGAAGUUUCUUUCUCUUUGGGUCGCGCUAACUGCCACACGUGUGGCAGGAAGGAAGACGCACCACACGUCUCUAAUGUAAACAGAUUGCCACGUCAUCGCAUGCAUGCAUGCAGGAAUUUUUUUGGAUUUUCAGUUUUUAAAAUGUUUUAUCUCUUAAACGAAAAAUCCGAUUGAAAAUCCGUUUUCACCAUUAAAUCCCUCGCGAUGAGAUCUUCGAAACUAGAUCCAAUGUUGAUAUGUUUUAAUGAAUUUUUUUUUGGAUUAAAAGUUGCCAUGUCUAUUGCAUAUGAAUUGUCAUGAUGUUUACACUGAAGUUGCCAUGAUAUGUUUCAGCUCUUUUCUUCUACAUUUAAAAGUAAAUUUUGACAUUUAUAAAACGGGGAAUUAAGAAACUAGACUUGCCAUGAACCAUAAACUAAAAUUGCCAUGAUACAUGCACGUAAAAUUGCCAUGGUUCAUACAAAAAAUAAUUUUCAUGGUCAAAGUACUAGAGUUGCCAUCAUCAAAAUACUAAAAUUGCCAUGAUCUACAAACUAAAAUUGCCACAUGGCAACUUUAGUUUAAGCCCUAUGGCAACUGCAGUGUAAACAUCGUGGCAACUUCUGACAAAAAAAAAAUCAUCGAAACAUAUCAACAUGGGGUCUAGUUUUGAAGAUCUCGUCGAGACGGAUUUAAUGGUGAAAACGGAUUUUUAGUUCGCUUUUUUAUUUAGAAGAUACAACAUUUUUAAGCCGAAAACCAAAAAAAAUUCUGCUGAUGUCAUCUAUUCAUACGUGGCAAAAUGAGUGGUGAUGGAGGCGUGUGGGCGAUGUGCAAACGCCCACACGUGUGGGCGUUAACAUUUUCGUUUUCUUUCUGUCACCAAAAUACUUCACUUACUGAGGGUUUUCUAUCCUGCUCCCUCUUAUUUUCCAUUUUCACAUGAAAGAUACGAGUAUAAAAUAGAUCUAAGCCGUUGAUUGUACUAAAUAGUGGGUUUGAUUAACUCUUAACUUCUUACCUUCCGUGUGAAAAGAGAGGUUUUUUAACAUGCUCCUCUUACUCUCUGUCUCCGUGCAUGUUAAAAUUGCUCUUAUAAAGAUUUACAAGACGACGUGCGAGUCGAGUCGAGCACCUCACCUGGAAGUCAAAACCAUCGGCCAUCGCGUGGGAGUCCCGGGUAGGGCUCGUCACCAUGCAAGGGCGGAAGGAUCGACGUCGCCGGCCGCCAACUCCGGCCACCGGCGAGGCUGAGAACAGCGGUGGCUCGACGGAGGAGAAGACGUGCGCCGCCAUCAGUCAGUUGCGACUAUCACCUCUGUAACCACACAACUGUUGGCUAAGGAGCAAGUGAGCAACUACCGUACUUGUCAAGCCGCCACGAACAAAUACAUAUAGGCAGCGACGAACAUUUAUAUUACUGCGCCGACGUACACACACGCAGGAUGUCUGGCCAGAAAAGGAGGUAGGAUUUUUUUUGCCGACCUUGCGCUGAAACUUCUCCACGUCCCUGGAUCUAAAUGACUAGGGUGAUUCGUAGCCUCCUUUCCCAUACAAAUGUUGUGGCGCCUACGGGGUAAAGCAGCAGCCAUAUAUAUCUGUGCUAGGUUGGAAGAGUGCUCACUAGAAGAGAGCUACGUCGUUGUUGCUACUAUAGAUUGCGCCCGCCCUGAAAUCUCAAUGACCGGGAUGGGUUUCAUACGGAAUCUGGGACGAAAUCUGCAAGUGGAGAGGAAGAGAUUUCGACAACAUAAUUUUUUCCAACUUCACAGAAAUGUACGUGCAUUUUUUAGGAAUGUUAGUUCAAACAUUUUAACAAAAAUGUGUGUACGACUAAAAAAGGUGUUCACGUGUAUGUAAAAAAAUGCCAUGUAGAAUAAAAAUGUUCAGUAUUUUUAUUAAAUGUUCAUGUAAUUAAGAUGUGUUCAUCUAUUCUGAAUAAAAUACAUGUACUUUUAAAGAAAUGUUCACAUAUUUUAAAAAGUGUUCAUAUACUUUCAAAACAUGUUCAUGCAUUUCCUGUGAAAGCGAUCAUGUUAUUAAUGAAAGCAUUCGUCCAUUUGAGAAAUUAUUCAUGUAAUUAAACAAGUUUUCCACCCAUUUGAAAAGUCUUCAUGUAAUUUUAAAAUAGUGUAAUAUUCAUGUAUUUUUUUAAACCCAUAUUUUUUUAAUAUCUUAGUAUAUUUUUAAAACAAAACAUGAAACUUAAAAUAGAAGAGAAAAAGGACAAACAAACAAGAAAAUAAAAAGGAAUAAAACACAAAACAAAAAAGAAACAUGAAAAAAGGAAAAACCCAACACAAACCAGCACAAAAAAACCCGACAAAAGAAAAUAGGAAAAAACAACUGAAACCAGUCCGGUCCACACCCCCACAGCUGGGUCUGGUCCCUACCUUCGCCCAAAUUUUUAUGGCCAGCGAUUUUGCUCGGCAGGUUCAUUAAUGAAAUGAAGUGUUUCGAGCUAAAAAAAACGGUGAUCCAUAAUUUUUUCUUCCACGUUCGUCCGUGGACAGGGGGACCAGUCCGCGUACACGAAUGCGAGAGGCCGUCAUUCAACGCUAUCCUAUAUAUGUCCGCCAGUAAAAGGUAAUUUGAAAUUCAAAUUUAGUUUGAUCCACACAGUGUGUCACAUCACACCAGCGCCAGAUCGCAUGCUCUAUCACAGCCAAAAAGAGACAAGUAUGCUUAGUUUUUACAUGCCGAAUCCAAAAAAAUAUCAGUCUGACAAUCAGUGCAAUUUUUCAUAAAAUGGUGUGUGUGUGGCGCUAUCGGCAAGGCACGUUUCCUCCGUUCGGGCACCACAUGCGUUCUAAAAUAUAACAUCUAACUAAUGUAAUGAGGAACAAGCUACAUUAAUAAUAAAUGCACACAUUUCGGAACAUGACAUACUCCCUCCGUCUCAGUUUACAAGUCCUACGCGUAUACCUAGGUUACCAUUUUUAUCACCCUAAUAUAAACUAUAUAACACAAAAAUUAUACGGUUUGAAAAUAGAACAUCUGAAUUUUAUAUUAAUAUAUUUUUUAUAAUAUAUGAUUUAUAUUAGGUUGGUCAAAUUGACGACCUAGGGGUACGCGCACGCCCUUUAAACUGAGAGAGAGGGAGUACUAUCAUGGAUAAAUAAUGAAAUAAAUGAAUGACAUAAAUGUCAUCCAAUCGCCAAUGUAAAGAAUAUGCUCUCAUGGAGCUUACAACCAAAUCGAGUUUACUCGAAUUUAUUGUAUGAAAUCAUGGAAUCAUGAUAACUAACGAGGUAAGCUAUAUAAACGAGUAUUUAUAUAGGGGCAGGGGUCAAGAGAUAAAUACUCAUUUAACGUAAAGUGUGGAACCAGAAGGGGCUAAGCCGUGCGCAUCGCACGUGUCCGCCGCCACCCUCGUGGUGGACCCGGUUUCCCAACAAGUGUGUGUGCGCGCGUAGUGGCGCCGAGCAUUGUGGCUGGCUUUUGUGAGUGUGUGCAUUGGAGCUAGCUUGGGUUAAAAAAGCCCCCGUGUACUCGUUGUAAGUGCGUCGGUAUGAGCCAUGCCACGGUGCGUUGCCGAGCCCGGGUAUGUGCCCAGUAAAUUGACGCCGUUCGUGUGAUGUGGCGUUUGUGCGCCGGAAAUAUUUGUGUCCCUCUUCUUUUCCACCUAUGUCCGAGCGAGUGUGAGAGCGAGGUAGUCCGGUUUGUCCCAACACAGCCAGCAAGACGGCCACUAGCUGCUAGCGGCUUAGAUGUACUAAAAUGACAUUGUCGCCUCUUCAUGGUGAAAUCAUUAAUUUCCUUGUAAACACUAACAAUUGGCAUCACCUUUGUGUUAUUUGUAUUAGUUGGCGUGCAUCAACACAAUCGUGGGCCUAAGCCCAGGCCCAUGACUCCCUACCUGGCAGUCUAUAUAAUGCAAGAGUUGGCCAGUGUAGUUGAUAGACACACUCUCUCCUCGCGUAACCCUAUCCGUCAUCUAAAUGUACCUUUCAGUGUGCUGCUUCUGGCGAUCCCAUCCCGACAACCGCAUGCACAGUUGGCCAAGAGAUCCCAUCCUGACAACCGCAUGCACAGUUGGCCAAGAGAGCGGGUGCCCUCGAAACCACGUCCUUCGAGAUCCUACCCGGGAGAAGGGCCAUAAGGUUUUUGGGGAGCGUCUCUGUCCUCCUCUACUUCAACUACUUUCCCUGCAUGAUCCCAUGGCGAACGAUGACAAAGCCGCCAAGAAGAAAGCCACGGACGACGUCAAGGUUGUUGCUGUCGCUGCCUGGCCAACCAAAGAGUAUGACUUGUUCAUCCCCUACUAACUCGUUCAUCUGCUAGCCAUAUAUGUCCUGUACAUAGAUGUUUUGUUCUUUGUGUUAUACAUGCUCACAUGUUUAGCUAUCACCUAUCGGUAUGAGUUGCAUACUGUGAAUCAUAUGCUUACUGUUAACUCGUGAACUAGAUUAAUCGAAAAGGUGGUGCUAAUAUUUCCAACAUAUUUGAUUUGAUUUCCUAGCAUGCAUCCAGUAUUGCAGAUGCGAACGCGUACUGCAAAUCUGAGAAAGUCUACGCAACUCUAUUUCAUUAUAUGCAAGUCACGCGUGCAUACGGAACCUGAAAAGGGCAGUGAAGCUUUGUUGGUGGCCAGAGGUGAUAAAAUGCAUCUGUCCCUCAAGCAGGCUCAGAAAAAAUCAGCUCUACUAAAUGAUACAGAUUUUCUUACUGGCAUGCAAUGCCAAACUCGAGAAGCAGCUAAAUAAAUGUAGCAGCAACAGAACGUGCUAAUGCGAGGCGGGCGAAGGUUCUAUCUUCCCGGUACAGCCUAAGAUUAUUUCACUUCACCUUUGAACCACUUUCCAAUACAGACGAAGUCACCACCAACGAAUUUCGACAGAACUAAGUUGGAACCGAUUUCACCGAGCAUCUUAACCACCAUCUUCUGCUACCGCCUAGCUAAACUGGUGGUCCACUGGCAUCCCAGCGUUUUUACCCCUGGCAUGGGGUGGGUUUAUAUACACAAUCUGGGCUGUGAAACAACAGGAACCAGGAUUCAUCGUUUUACAAGGUGGACGUGAGCUUGCAACUGUGCGAGGAAAUUCAGCCAUGCCUGAUGGACCAACCCAGCAUUUCCCCUGCCAUCGUCGUAAGUGCGAGAAGAGCUAGUUGGAUGGAGGUCCAGAUCCACCCAUGCGCCUCCUGAGCCGGCCCCGAGUCAACCGAAUAGCCUCCUGGAUGAGCGUCUCCUCGUCUUCAGGCAUUGUUGGGCGGGGUGGCACGUUGCUUGUCGAAGGCCCAGAUUGAUCAACCAGCAUGUCUUCACUCUUUGGGGGGCUGUUGCCGGCGACAGGGCCAGGACAGGAAGGUGUUUGUUGCUGCACAGGAGGCACUGCGCCAGGAGGGGCAACUGGAACUGGGCCUUUAUCUUGCACCUGCAUCCUUGGUGGAGUAGGAGGAACUUGGGCGGCCUGUGGCGGCAUCGGUGGUGCCGUUGGUGCGGGAACAGGUGGUGGUGCAGGAUUCGCCAUCCGAGUCCGUGGAGGUGGUGGACGCUGCUGCUGUUGCUGUGCCUGUAUAGAGAGACAGUAAAGUAAGUACAUGAGACAUAUACAGCUGACACUGACACACACACGCACAAGCACACAAUACUAGGUAAGUUAAUGAGUUCUAAAAAACCAUCUGACUCUGAAUCCUGCAACUGGUAAACAGAAAGCCCAUGCUGCACUCUCGACAAAUGCACACAGAACUUCUGUACAUGAAUAAUCCUAACCCUUCCUAACAAAUGGUAUGACGAAAUGGUGCAGCAGUUAUCACAUUCCAAUAUGGAAAUUAUAUAUUAUACGUGCUUCUCAGGUUACUAACUCUAACAAAGGAUGUAACAAGAAUGGAAGUGCUAUUCAUGCAAGGUGAUACAAACUAUGUGGAACUAUAGAUCAAACUUUGCUAGAAGUACCAGAGGUAUGGAGCAAAACUAAAUUGCAGGUCGUCAACUUGAUCACUGUCAGUACACGAUCAAAUAUCUAUGUUGUCUUUAACAAGAUAUGUAAAGCAUCAAGCAUGACAAGGUAAUUCUAGACAAGUUUGCUUUUGUAUGUGUGCCCAAACAAAUAAGAGCUAAGCAACCUAGAGGUCGAGGACACCAUGAAUAAUCCUAUUGUGAUAAUUCUUGCAAGAAAAUUGGUACAGGAGUAUGGUAGAUGAAUGGCAUGAUACUACAAAAUCAUUGCUAGCUAAUUUUGUCCACGCAAAUGCCACAAUUAACCACAACUCAGGCUCCUAAGCUGUAAAAUAAACCAGAGAAACAAAUGCCAUUUCCUACCAAAUACCAACAGAGAUUACUGAAUAGUGAUAAAUCCAGGUACAAUCGUAAGCCAGUUUGAUUUGGCAGAACAAUUGGGUUUGACUAAACUGCGCCCUAACUGAUGAAAAGAAAAAGGGAUAAUGUUAUAAUGCAACUACAUGGUGAUGAGUUGAUGACAUAGCAGAACUUGUGCGGCACACAAAUUCUUCCAAAGGGUGCGACCAGGACAUACACACAAAUUCUUAGAGUGCACGCAAGGUAGAAUAUUCAACUGAACACUAGGGGGAAAUAUUUCUAGAAUUUCACAAUAUGGUGUGAAAACACUCCAGUAGUAGCGCUCUUAGAAGACCAGAGCAAAUUUCCCAACCUAUCGAUAAUUCACAGAAAUUCUCAGAACUAGGAAAAAUUAGAUGCAUAUUCUCUCUAUUAUAAAUGGAAGGUAAAUGCAUAUGCCAAAAUUUUGGAGCAAUAUAUGAUCUCUGAGCGUCAUACUAUAUUUCUUUUACCCAAACAUAGGAGUAUUAUUUAACUCCAAUUGUAACUACAAAAAAAAAUCAGUAAACACCACUCGUAGACGAGAGGCUGAAUGUAAAAAGAAGUGUUGCAUAAAGGAACAUAGAAAUGGGUAUUAUUCAUGUUUUUCUAACUUCCACUAGAAAUCAGGGAAUCAAUGUGAAUUUAAGAUCAUUUUAACAUUUAAAAAAAACAUGUGGUGGUAGGAUGCAAUACAUACAUCGUUAUCAAUACAACAUGUGAAUAAAUUCAUGGCCUAGCAUUUAAAAUUCUACUCCAGCCUACAACAUUGGGCUCAAAUAGAAGAAAACCUAAAUAGCACUACCAUUAUGGAACAAGCCACCAGAUUAUAUCAUAUACUCCCUCCGUCCCAUAAUUCUUGUCUUAGAUUUGUCUAAAUACGGAUGUAUCAAGUCACGUUUUAGUAUUAGAUACAUCCGUAUCUAGACAAAUCUAAGACAAGAAUUUUGGGACGGAGGGAGUACAAACUAUAGAAGUUCAGUCAUCAUAUAGUGGGUAGUGUUACACUUCUCGCUAAAAUAGACAUCAUAGCAGUACAAAAUGACUGUCACACAAGCUUUAAAGUUUUGAAAGUACCUGAGAACGAGAUCCUUGUGAUUGAGAAGCAAUAUAUUGCAAGAUUUCAUGGAACCUUGACUGGCUGUAGUCUGCAACCUUGUGGAAGUAAGUAACAGCAAUAUCACUAGCCCUUGUCCUCAACUCAAGAAGAUUGCGAUCAAUCUCAGAUUCGUGUUUUGCGAUAUAAGGCUUGAAGAACGACUCAUAGACAUAUGAAGUCCCCUGGAAUAACCCUUUGUUAGAGACAAGCCAUAAGACAUAACAUGUUAUGGCAACACAAAAAGCAGGAAACAAAACCUGUGUCUUAGGAUACCACAAAUACACAAUAAAAGCCAGCUUUGCUUCACUAUACAUUGGCAACCUGUAUGAAAAUGGAACUAUCAACCAUCAAGCAGAUGAAGUCCCCCAACUGUAAUCACCCAAAAUCCGAAUUCAAAUGAGUCACAUUACCAUGAUAUGAAAUUAUCCCCAACUCUCUCGAAAACAGUAAGCAUUGCAAGUAAAAUCCUGCAAAACCAUGGUCAUGCAUGUGAGACCAAGCAAAAACAAAGAAUGAUAGCCCAAAAUAAAAUGGAAGGACGUCAAAGACAUACCAGUACUGACACCAGAACCGCAACUGCUCAAUCUCAGGCCUAUUCAGCUCCACUGUCUUGUAACAAUCAUAAGCUGGAUAUGCAUAUCCAAGAACAAGUCUGCAAAACGGAUAAAUAGCAGAAACAUUGUGGGUGUAAACAAGAAUCACACCAUUGCUGUGAUUAAAUAAGAACUGAAUUGCUGCUUACAUUAAAGCUCUGGUGAUGAAUGAUCCGACAACCAUCUUGACCCCUACACCACAGAAACAUCAAUUACAUAUGUUGUCAAUUGCCAAAAGCAAGAUAGAUAAAUGUCCUAUGAGGGUCAAAUAUAUAACAGGCUAGCAGUCAUUAUGCUAUAUACUUCCGCAAGCUCCUUCACAUCAGCAAAACAGAACACAAAAAGAUGGAAAUAGGCACCGCAUGCUAGAUUAAGCCUUUAUCUUGCUGAUUACUUCAGCCAUCACACAUCUAGAAAGCCUUAUCCAAUCAUACUAGCACCAUAAAGUCAUACUCCCUCCGUUUUGAAAUAAUUGUCUUUCUAGAGAUUUCAACAAGUGACUACAUACGAAGCAAAAUGAGUGAAUCUACACUCUAAAACAUGUCUACAUACAUCCGUAUGUUGUAGUCUAUUUGAGAUGGCUAGAAAGACAAUUAUUUCGGAACGGAGGGAGUAGGUGAUACCAAACCAUUUGGCUAGAGUUCGAUUUUGUUAUAACAAACAGGGGCUACGCAGAGUAGGGGAAACCUAACGACUGCCUGUCCUGGCAAGAACAAACAAAACUUCUGUUAAAGUUGGGUCUAGAUAAGAACAGGGGGUGCAUCAAGCAUCAUAAGUUCAUAUCAGUCCAUUUUGCUAGAUUUCGAUUUUGUUACAGCAAGCACUGCACGGAAUAGGAGGAAAUCCAAACAAUUACAUAUUCCCAGUCAGACCAAACAAUUUACUGUUACAUUUUGGCUUUAGUAUAUGAUAGCAGAAGGUACACCUCCUCUGCCCUAAGAAAAUGACCAAGCAAAUCAAUCCGAACAUGAACUGGGAGGCAAAUUGAAUGGAGGGACCCGAUACAGAUCGAUUCAAAGGAGCAGCCAAAAGUACACCUAUGCUCUCAGAAGAAGACCAACCAAAUUAAUCUAAACAUGAACUGGGAAGCAAAACAUAAAAAGAUGAAAAUAGGUACUGCAUGCUAGAUUAAGCCUUUAUCUUGCUGAUUACUUCAGCUAUCGAACAUCCAGAAAGCGGCAUCCAAACAUGCUAGCACCAUAAGUUCAUAGGUGACACCAAACCAUUUUGCUAUAGUUCGAUUUUGUUAUAACAGAGGCUACACAGAGUAGGGGAAACCUAACGACCACCUGUUCUGGCCAGACCAAACAAAAUUUCUGUUGAAGUUGGGAAAUUUCCAACAACAAAAUUGAUAAAUGUCCUAUGAGGUCAAAUCUAUAACAGGUUAGCAGCCAUUAUUAUGCCACAGCCUUCCACAAGCUCCUUCACAUCAGCAAAACAGAACACAAAAGGAUGGAAAUAGGCACUGCAUGCCAGAUCAAGCCUUUAUCAUGCUAAUUAAUUCAGCCACCACACGCCUAGAAAGCAUUAUCCAAUCAUGUAUUCAUGUUAACAGCAUAAGUUCAUAGGUGAUACCAAACCAUUUUGCGGAGUUCAAUUUUGUUAUAACAGAGGCUACACUGAAAAGGGGAAACCUAACAACUACCUGUUCUGGCCAGACCAAACAAAAUUUCUGUUAAAGUUGGGUCUAGAUAUAUAGAAUAGGGGGUGCAUCAAGCAUCAUAAGUUCAUAUGAGCCCGUUCUGCUAGAGUUUGAUUCUGUCACAACAAAUACUACAGAGAAUAUGGCGAAAUCCAGACAAUUACUUGUUCCCAGUCAGACCAAACAAUUUACUGUUACAUUUCUGCUUUAGUAUAUGACAGCAGAAGGUAAACCUCCUCUGCUCUAAGAAAUGACCAAGCAAAUCAAUCUGAACAUGAACUGGGAGGCAAAUUGAAUGGAGGCACCCGAUACAAAUCAAUUCAAACGAGCAGCCAAAAGUACACCUACGCUCUCAGAAGAAGACCAACCAAAUUAAUCUAAACAUGAACUGGGAAGCAAAAAAUAAAUAAACGGAGGCACCAGGUACAAUAUCAAUUCAAACGAGCAGCCGAAAGCACCUCGCGCAAACCCAACCAGAUCAGCCUCGGCCUAGCGCGAAACCAGAAUCAACACGCCGCAGAGGAACCGCUACAUCAAGCUCGCAAAUCCCUCCAAAUGCGAGCGGCUCGCAAAUCCCUCCAAAUGCGAGCGGCUCGCAACCCCUGGGCGCCACGCCCCGCGCGGUUGCGGCCCCCGAACGGCACCGGAGGAGCAGCGCACCGCAGCGCGGAGAAUCGAACGGGGCACGGGACGCGACAACCGCAGCCUAAUCCAUACCCGAAACAACCAAACAGCGUAUCCGUGGCGUGUGCGGGGAGAAGUUAACCCCCGGCGGAGACGGAACGGGGAGGGGGCGGCGCCGCUGCUGCCGCCCCUACAGAAGGACCAAAUCGAAGCAAAGUGGGGCGGGGAACGAAUACCUUUCCUCCCGCUGCAAGCAACGGGCCGGCAGCGCGAGGUGCUGGCCCUCGGCGGCGGCGACGACGCGGGCUGUUGCCGGAGCAGGGGAGGGAGCCGCGGAAGCUUCCAGGAGGUUCCGGGAGGGAGGGGGCCUCCGUCCCGGGCCGGGUCGGCGGCGAGGCGGCCGAGGGGAGAGGGGGAGGGAAUUCAAAAGAGGGGUUUGCCUUUGGGUUUGGGGAUGGAAAAGGGGCGAGGAAAUCACCGUCAGAAACCGCUACAUAGCGUCCCACGCUCACGGUGGGGCCUACCCGUGUGCUACGCUGAUAGAUGGGCCCAGACGUGGUAUGGUCCCACCUGUCUGCCGGGCUUAGCUUGCUGCUGUCGGCUCGGGUGGGUGGAAGGGGUCGGAGGUGUGCGGCGCCGUUCUGGUCUGCGGGGGUCGGAGGGGUGCCGCGCACGCGUCGGCUCUUGUACCCGUGCGAAGUCGGGUGCGGUGGGCCGCAGUGUCAGUGGGUGGCCUCGGGUGGAUAAGAGCGCGCCGAGGUUAAGUAAAGAAUUGUGCUGUGUUUGGGUGCGAGGGGCAAGGAAUAUGUGCACGCCGGGAGGAGGGGAUGGGAUCCCAGCCCAUCUGACAACCCCCUCUCUCUCUCUCUCUUCGACACGCUUGUCAAGUGUUGCGGCAUCGUUUUGAUUUAACGAUGUGGUAUAUCGUAAAGUUUGAUAAAAAAAAUAUACUCCCCAUCCAUAAUAAGUGUCGCGAUUUUGAACUCAGAUUAGUAGGUGCAUAUACCGUGAUCGCUCCAGCUGCAAAGAGGGAAUAGAUUGUGUGUGGUAUCUCGCAAAAGAAAAUAUACACUACUUAGGGCAUCUCUAACAGAACCACCAUCACACAACUUUUUAAAUGCUCUCUCAAAUUUUAACUCCCCAAAACUGAGAAGUUAAGAUAACGGACAGACUUAACCGAACUUCUAUAUUUAGAGCAUCUCCAAUAGAUGGUCCAAAAUUUGACGGUCCAAAAUUGAAGAUGUAAAAUUUACACCGCCAAAAAGUGCGCUUUGGGGUUCUCAUUGCCUCAAGAUGUUUUUGUUACACUUAGGGCCUGUUCUGAACUUCUCUUGCUUCUCAAAACUUCACAUAUCCAGCUUCUUCUCCUCGCUUCUAACUCCACCUAGCGAUCGCAGGAGCGUUCGGGAGCAUCGACAGCUUCUCCCAGCGCUGCAGCCCAGCUGGGAGGGCUGUGGCCUGUUGGGCCGGCUGGAGGCAGCCAAAUUCGGUCCAACAUGUCAGGUGAGGCGGACUCCGGCGACUCGACGAGGUGAGGAAGAGAGCGCGAAGGGGAGGAGCAGGAAGGGGAAGGGGCGGUGUGGUGCGGGGAGGUGAGCGGCACCGCAGCCGUGGUCAGGCGCCGGAUCCCGCUGUGGUGCCUACGCCCGUGGGCCCGUUUUCGAUGCCUUCCCCGGGCUGCGUCGACGGGAACCGGCGGGGAUUGCCCUGGAACGGCUCGAUCUGUUGCCGGGAAGGAGCGGCGGCCGGCGACGACGCGGCGGCCGGCAACGGCGUGGCGGCGGAUUGGGUCAGCGCCGCUCGAGGGGAACGAGCUGGGGAGAGCUAGCGAUAGGAUUUGGGGGAGGGGAACGAAUCGGUAAGUUUUGCGGUGGCAUACGGCUGUAAUUUGGGCAAACUCCAGUUUCUCUUUUCCGUGGAGCUGGGCCGAGGCAGCUUCGAAUUUUUACACUGCGAUUGGGCUCAGCUUCCCGAAGCGAGCUUCUCGGGGCUUUUCCGUUCGGCUCAGCUCCCGCUCCAGAAUUUUGCAAAGCGUGGAGCGGGAGGACAUCCGAACAGGCCCUUACUGAGCGGAAGGGGGCAUGUGAACCUUUUGGAGAACUUGUUGAGGCUUGGGUACUGAUUGAAGGAAUUCCUCCUAAAUGGUGCACAUGGAAAGUUUUUGCUCAGAUUGCUUCUUUGUUUGGGGUACUGACUGAUGUAGGCUGGAAUGGCAUGUUCAGGACUUUCUUUGAGAAUGUUAGAAUAAAAAUUGCUUGUAGGGACCCCACAAAGAUCCCAUUUGAGAGGCUCAUUGAGAUGAAGAAGAAGUUGUUUUUACUGGGCUUUGCUGCGGAGGGAUUUGAGCAAGUUGGUGGGAUUGACUCUGUUAUUGAUAUUGAGGAUGAUGAAGAAAUAGAAGGAGAAGGUGUCGCUGAGGGACAGGAGGAUGAGGGUGGAAAUGCUUAGAAAGAUGGACUGGAAGACUUACUUGAUAGUGAGGAGGCAAUUGAUGAGCUAGAUAAGGCUAAUAUAGCUAAUCAAAGCAAGAAUAAACAGAAAGGGCCCCAAGCUGACAUGUUCUGUUCUGACUCUGAUCAUGAAACCUUUAUCCUGGAGUGUGUUGCUGCUGAUAAAGAAGAACAUCUUGUAACUGAAAAAGGAACUGAAUCUAAGGAUUUCUGUCCUUCUACUUUGAUGGAAUCCACUCCAUCCAAGCCACUAGUAAGGAUUGCUGAGGGGAUCACCAGUUCUGGAGGGAAGCUUGAAAGCAUGGAGUAUUGUGAGAGUAUACUUAAAUCUGUUGACUUUUCUGAGUCCGAGGAAGAGGAUUCCAAGGGUGAUGAACUUGAAACUCUUCCUCCUGAAGUUGUACAAGCCAUUCAAAACAUAUCUCUGAAAAGAUCUUUGCUGGAAACCCUUGAUCAGGAUCAGGAUCCAAGGGCAAAAGCUGAGAAGACCAAGUGGAGGCCUGUGCUGGUUCAGAAACCUGCUACUAGGGGGCAUGGCAAUUUGAAUAUCAUGGAAAAAGCUGCUGCUUACAAGAGGAAGCAGAAUCUGGAAAUUCCAAAAACUUUCAAAGGUAAAUCAUUCACUAAUACUGAUCAUAACAUUCUGUUUGAAAAAAUGAGUAAAAUUGAUUUAUGCAUUGGGGGGAUGAGGGGAUGAAUAGUGUAUCCAUAGCGUGUGCGGGGAGAAGUUAACCCCCGGCGGAGACGGAACGGGGAGGGGGCGGCGCCGCUACUGCCGCCCCUACAGAAGGACCAAAUCCAAGCAAAGUGGGGCGGGGAACGAAUACCUUUCCUCCCGAUGCAAGCAACGGGUCGAAGCGCGCGAGGUGGUGGCCCUCGGCGGCGGCGGCGACGCGGGACCUCAUCGGAGCAGGGGAGGGAGCCGCGGAAGCUUCCAGAAGGUUCCGGGAGGGAGGAGGGGGCCUCCGUCCCGGGCCGGGUCGGCGACGAGGCGGCCGAGAGGAGAGGGGAAGGGAAUUCAAAAGAGGGCUUUGCCUUUGGGUUUGGGGAUAGAAAAGGGACGAGGAAAUCACCGUGAGAAACCGCUACAUAGUGUCCCAAGCUCACGGUGGGGCCUACCCGUGUGCCACGCUGAUGGAUGGGCCCGGACCUGGGAUGGUCCCACCUGUCUGCUGGGUUUAGUUUGCUGCUGUCAGCUCGGGUGGAUGGAAGGGGUCGGAGGUAUGCGGCGCUGUUCUGGUCUGCGGGGGUCGGAGGGGUGCCGCGCACGCGUCGGCUCUUGUACCCGUGCGAAGUCGGGCUAGCUCGGGUGCGGUGGGCCGCAGUGUCAGUGGGUGUCCUCGGGUGGAUAAGAGCGCGCCGAGGUUAAGUAAAGAAUUGUGCUGUGUUUGGGUGCGAGGGGCAAGGAAUAUGUGCACGCCGGGAGGAGGGGAUGGGAUCCCGGCCCGUUUGACACCCCCCCCCCUCUCUCCCUUCGACACGACUUGUCAAGUGCUGCAGCAUCGUUUUAACUUUCCGAUGUACUACUAGUACCAUCGUAAAGUUUGAUAUAAAUGAAAAAAUGUACUCCCUUCCUCAAAUUUAAUACAAAGUUGACACUUGUUUUGAAACGGAGGAAGUAUACGAAGUAUUUUUACACUUGUUUUGAAAAGGACAUAGAUUAGCACGCGAAAUUUCUGCUCCCAGGCUCAUCUGCACCUGCGCUCAUAAAAAAAUCAAAGAAAAACUAGAAAAAUCCUUUUUUGUGUGUGUGGCUCAUCUGCACCUGCGCAUGGCCCCUCCUGAUUUGUCUUUUUUGUCGAGAGCUGUUCAGAUGUCCAAAUGAGUUAAAAUUUGGAGCUGACAUCACGCAUCAAAUUAUCUACCAGACAAAAAAUGUAUAUUUUUUUGAAUUUUUUUAGUAUUUGUUUUGAUUUUUUCUGAGCGGGAGCAUAUGAGCCUGGGCACCGAGUUGGAUUUUCACAUAGAUUAUGUACAUUGUGCAAUAGUACCUCGCAAAAGAAAAUAUAAAUUUCCUAGGGCAUUUCUAACUGAAACACCACUAUAUGACUUUUCAAAUGCUCCCUCAAAUCUUAACUCCUCAAACGGCAAGCUGGAGGACACGGGUUUUUCGGGCAAUACUUCCUCAACUUGGACUGCAAUCAGUCACGGCCUAGAUUUGCUCAAGAAAGGUUUAAUAUGGAUAGUUGGGAACGGAAGGAGUAUUCGUAUAUGGAGGGACGCUUGGAUCCCUAGGCCCUUUUCAUAUAGGCCAAUCUCAGUUCAGGGUACAUGCAGGUACCGUUUUGUGUCACAGCUUCUACGCGACAAUGGAUCAUGGAAUUACAAUCUGCUCCAGGAAGCCUUCCUACCAUGUGAUGUGCAGGAGAUUCUGAAAAUAAGAGCAUCGCCGCGGCUAGGCGAGGACGUGCUUGCAUGGGGGCCGGCUGGAAAUGGUGUUUUUUCAGUCGAAUCAGCAUAUACCUUAGCCUUUGAAGAGACAUACAUAUCUACUGCGGAAUCUUCAAGCUCAGCCCCGAAUGGACAUCAGACCUGUUGGAAAGUUAUUUGGAAAAGUUUUGUACCUCUAGCAGUACAGCAGUGAACUCUCUCCCAACUUGGCAAAACAAGAAUAAACGUAACUUAGAAACUUCGGGAAUCUGCCCAAUCUGCGAGCGGGAAGAGGAAGAUACUUUUCAUGCAUUAUGUAAAUGCCCUUUUGUGGUGCAAUGUGGGAAUGCAUGUCAACUGUUUGGCGUUUGCCACAGCUGGAGGAAAUGAAAAAUACGGGUACUGAAUGGUAUUGGAGGCGCUCCAUCCACUCCCUGAGAUUGAUAGUGGUAUGCUAAUGAUGACACUGUGGCGGGUAUGGCAUAACCAUAAUGAAGUGACUCAUAAAAAAGGAUCCAUUGUUGAUGGAAGUGUCCAAGCGUUUCCUGAUGAGCUACAUGGACUCGCUCUUAUCACUGAAAUACUCUGAUUAGGAUAUGUUUAAGGGACAGCAAGUGGUCUCUUAUGAUCAUCUAUAUAAACCACUUGUGAUAUUAUCUACACCUCGGCACAUUCCAUGGGUGUUGCCAAUGGAGGGCUGGACCAAACUCAACACAGAUGGUUCUUGGUCAGUUGAUGGAAGUGCGGGAGCUGGUAUGGUACUCCGGAAUAAUAUGGGUUAGACCAUUUACACAUCAUGCAUAGAGCAUUUCUCGUGCAGACACGCUUUGGAAGCGGAGCUUAGUGCAUGUACGGAGGGGCUUUUACUUGCCAUUCAGAGAACGGAGUUUCCUAUCCAUGUGGAGAUGGAUUCCCGACAAGCUGUGAGCAUGAUCGUUGAUGAGUUAACUGAUAGAUCGAUCUUCUCUUCACUGGUGAAGGAAAUCAAGCAUCUGAGGAACCUCCGUAGAACUACAUUUAGUCUUGUUCAUUGUAUUCAGAAUAGUGUUAGCAAUUUUUUGGCUAAGUUUGCUAGAACUCAGAGUAGAACUGUUGUUUGGCUUAACUCUGUCUUGUCAGAAGUUAUUGAGCUUUGUAAUGCAGAUCAUGGCAUUUAUCCCACUUGAGUAAUACAAAGUUCACCCGCAAAAAAAUCUUAACUCCUAAAAAAUGAGGAGUUAAGAUAGCGGUGGGACUUAACCGAACUCCUAUAUAUAACUCCUUAUAAAAAAGAUAUUUGCUAUUUAGCUAUCUUAAUGCCACAUGUUCUAGAUCCAAACGGCUGUGAUUAUUCUACUGUAUGCCCGUCGUUGAUGGAGAGAGUGUGGGGAUGAGCAGAGGUCGGAUCCCGUCGUGGCUCAGUGGAUGUAGGAUGAGGCAGUGGUGGCUUGCACCAUCAGCCAUGGACCUGGGCAUGCUGCCGCCGAGGCAUUCCAACUGUCUAUGGGAAGGGGGGAGGUCGUGGUGCUCCACGGGUGGAUGGCCAAACGCAGUGGGGUGAGUCCCACCUGGAUUGGCCAGAGUCGGAGGGACGCUCAGCGCCUUGACGUUGCCCGAACCGGAGUCGCCACCACCUCGCGUGGGUGCGAAAGGGGCGAUGCGCAGGUCGUCUAGCCACGAAUCCAUGCUUGAGUUUUUUUGUUAGAAAUCUCAUUGACUUACCUAAUAAAAUCGUGUUGCAUUGGUGAGCCAAUAAGUACUGAUCCAUUUAACAGUAAUAUCUGUUUAUAGUUAACAAUAAAAUUGUAGGUAAAUCAUGGUCAUUGCAUACAUUUAUGUGUGCCUUCGUUACAAUUCACAUGCAAUUAUCUAAUGGACUGAAAUUAAGGUCUAUGGCUUUUAAAAUAAUUUUUUAUUUCUUGUUGGGUUGAGAGUCAACAACCGGAAUCCAACACUUAAUUAUUUGUUGAUGCAAGUUUUAAUUUUGUGUUGCACCUGUUCGUGAGAAUGAGUCUUAGUACUGGAUGAUAACAUCACGUGGCCCUUGCUCUGUUUUCUUUGAACCAAUCUAGACAUGGAAGCCAUUUGUCAACCAAUGAUUUUUCUUUUUCCUAUUCAUAUGUGAAAUUUGUGUGCUAUUUUCUUGUUCUUAUGUCUAGCUAAAUCUAUACCUAAUAAUAAAGGGGCUAUUGCUGCGGCACGUCAUCGAAAUUGCCCCCAAAGUUGCAAAAUAUUACGCACUGAUGCCAUCUAUAUAAGGGAUAAAAAUGUUUCACACAAGGGAAUCCCCGCCUGGGCCGGCCCAUGCGGUAGGAACCUACUAUACUGCACUCUGUUUGUGCCGGCCCAAGUCGGGGCGGCAUAUUUUUUUAAAUUUUGUUUUCUAUUUUUUGUUUUUGUUUGCCAUCUUCAUUUUUCUACUUUAAAUAAUUUUGGAUUUUAAAAAAUUACAAAAUUAAAAAAAUGAGAAUUUUGAAAUAAAAUGUUUGAUAAUUCAUAAAUGUUUGUGCAAUUAUAAAAUGUUCCCGAUUUAAAAAAAUAUGUUUGCAUAUUCAAAAAGUGUUCGUAAAAAACAAAAUAAAUGUUUGGGGAAUAAAAAAUGUUCAUGAUUUUUUUUGAAAGUUUGUGUAUUAAAAAGCAUUGAUGAAAUUGAACAAAAUUUUGCCAAUUCAAAAAAUGUUCAUGAAUUGAAAAAUAUCAUAAAUUUUUGAAAACUGUUCAUGACUUACAAAAUAGUUUAUUGAUUCAUAAAAUGUUUGUGGAUAAAAAAAUGUUCAUUAAAUGAAAAAAAUUGUCCCACCAAUUCCAAAAACAUGUUCGUAGAUGCUAGAAAUAUUAUCCUAUUCAAAAAAAUGUUUUAAAAAGUAUUUUCAAAUAGUAUUAAAUGUUCAUGAAUUCAAAUUUUUACAUGAUUUUAGAAAAUGUUUAAAAAAAUGUAAAAAUCUUCCCGAUUUCAGAUAUGCUCAUGAGUUUAAAAUAUUGUUCAUGAGUUUCAAAAAUUGUUCACGCUUUCAUGAAAAUGGGAGUAUACUGUAUCUUGGUGAUGUAGCAAUAUGUGGUCAUGGCCAUUCAAGAUUAUGAUUUUUUUUCCCGUUGCAUCGCACGGCUGUUUUUGUAGUGUUUUACUUAUAUAUAGUAGAUAUACUUGUGAAAACCAUACAUAAAUAUUGCAUAUCUAUAUAAUUUAUAAUUUCAUAUAAUCCACACGGCAAUACAAAAAUCAAUUUUCAUAUAUAUCCCAAUCACAUUUAUUUCAGGGAGCAUGUCCUUGUACAUCAUCAGCUAGAUCCGUAUGUUUGUUGGAGGGGUGUACUUUGCUUAUUAGCGUAUAUGCAUAUUGUGCACUCACACCCAAAAGGAACACACUUGGCACUGGCGUUGCACGCGCAGUUUGGAGGGCAGUGAAACUUCAAGAGCUCUUGGCCCACUUGAUUCUGGCAUUCACUUAUAUCACAAUCAUGACCACCCGGCUGUGGGAUGAGUUUUCUCUUGCAAUCUUUAUACGCUGUCGCACCUACUCCCUCCGUUCCUAAAUACUUGUCUUUCUAGAGAUUUCAACAAGUGACUACAUACGGCGCAAAAUGAGUGAAUCUACACUUUAAAAUAUGUCUACACACAUCCGUAUGUUGAGUCCAUUUAAAAUGCCUAGAAAGACAAGUACUCCCUCCGUUCCUAAAUAUUUGUCUUUUUAGAGUUUUAAAUGGACUACCACAUACGGAUGUAUAUAGACACAUUUUAGAGCGUAGAUUCACUCAUUUUGCUCCGUAUGUAGUCACUUGUUGAAAUCUCUAGAAAGACAAAUAUUUAGGAACGGAGAGAGUAUUUGGGAACGGAGGGAGUACAAGAUAUCGGCAUGAAAAGAACAUGGGUCACACAUCAUGGCCAUAAUUUGAUAAAUGAGUUUGUGUGAUAUGCAUUAUAGAGAAGAAAAUGGGCACCAUAUGUUAACAGAAGGAAGGCGAGGACCAGGAGUUGAGUCACAGUACCGGUUCUCCUCAUUUUUGCCGUCUUAUGGCGUUGAUAUCUACUGUUGUUGAUGGCUACGAAACUUUAGAGCUGUUUAGGAGAACAAAUAAGAUGGCAAUCUUUUUAUAGAGGGCUUCAUAUCAAUACCAUUACCAUUAUUUGGAAAGACAUUUACUAUUGGAUAUUGUAUACCAAAAAAAUAAUUAUGGAGUAUCAAAUAAGUAAUACUAAUACCAUUAUUGGAAAGAAAUUUAUUAUUGGAUAUUGUAUACCAAAAAAAUAAUUAUGGAGUAUCAAAUAAGUAAUACUACUACCAUUAUUUGAAAACACAAUAUUAUUGGAUACCAAUACCAUUAACAUUAUUUGAAAAACACAAUAUUAUUGGAUAUCAAUACCAUUAACAUUAUUUUGAAACACAUUAUUAUUGGAUAUCAAUACCAUUACCAUUAUUUUGAAACACAUUAUUAUCGCCCAAUGCGCUUGCCAAGAAAAACUUACACCACACACCCACAACUACCGAGCCCGUUGGUGAUCGAGCCUGCCACUGUUACUCUAUGCAAGCAGCAGAACAACACGAUGCAGCGAAAGAACUCUAGCAGCGGAACAACGAUGACGGUGGUGAACUCCACUCCGCAGGGACUCUGGCUAGAACGCUUAUCCCAGCUCGCACGAACAGAAACCACGACAAGCAAGCAAUCAAAUCCGGAAUGACCUGCAAGCUGGCAUGACACGCCAGGUCAGUACAUUGAAUGUACUUGCAAGCUCACAAUAACCAGAAGCAUUCAAGACAGACAACAACAUGGCAAUUACAGGUUAAACAGGAAUUAUCAUGAUAUCAUCAAAACAAUAUAGCAUGAACAAGAUGAACAUGAUACGGCUAACAGAACAUGAACAUGGAAUGAACAUAUUAAUCCGACAAUACUAGCAUGCAACAUGAUGACACUAUCAUGCACUACUUAUUCUGCUCGGGUUACCUCGUAACCAACACAUGCAUCACUUACCAACCUCGGACAUCACACGAUCAUCUCAGGAUCAAAUCAAGCUUGGUAUAAACAAUACCGUAGUAAUCAUUAAAUGGCCACAAGGAGCUUGAUCUUUACCCACGAUUCUCGCACAACAUCACGAAUAUCCAACGACUCGGUAUCCUCAAUACCACCAUGAUCCUUACGGUGAUCACAACCACGACCAACACUUGGUCUCAAACCAUGAUCCUUACGACGAUCACAACCACGACCAACACUUGGCCCCAAACCGUGAUCCUUACGGCGAUCACAACCACGAGUUGUCAUUAAUCAAGUUAUUCUUAUUACUGUUGACUCAUGGUGUACCCUACUUUCGAACUGGGCCCUUAUCCGUGGGCGCGGCUAUCGAUAGAUUUAACAUACACUCUGCAGAGGUUAGUACACUGUACCCACACUACGGAACCCAUGGCCUCGCACUCCCAUUCGGGUGGACCAACGGCGUUCCGACAAAACCGUUCUAUUGCCAUGACACUCUCCCGGCCACUCCGACUCACUCCCCACUGGGCUAAGUCAUGGGUGGCCCCGUGUCUACCUCAAGAUACCUCAAUCCACCGCCGUGGCCCAAAACAAUAAACCGUCCCAAACGGGGACAUGUGCACAUAACAACAACAAUGGGAACACAAGUCUUAUGUCCGCCUACCUGAUCAAGGUAUCGCGCGCCCAUAACCUUCCCUCGUUAGAGGCACCGGCGAGAGGCGCGACAAUAGACCCAGUUAGGACCGUCCCAUACCGGUAAGCGUGGUUGCACUGGUCAGCAUCAUUUCAAUGGCACCAUGACUCAACCAACAGUUAUUCAAGUUCAAUUUAAUCCGGUUAACUUGAAUGCAAAUAUGCUGAGCCAUGAUAAAAUGCAUGAACAUGAUAUCAACAUAAUCAUGAGGGUAUCACAUAACUACCCACCAUAUCAACAAUAAUUCAUAUCCACUGAGCAUGGCAUACUGACUAGCAUGACCAUCACCAACAUCAACAUGUACUACUAGCAAGCAUAAACAUAUGAAAGGAAAUACUAGCAGGUAGAACAUGAUAACAUAGUACAAGACAACCUAGCACAAAAGUGAACAUGCAAAUCUAAACAUCACCGGAACAACGAUAACCAUCUUUUCAACAAGCAAAUAUUUAAUAAAGAUUCAAGUUGAAAACCGUGGCUACUGCAUGACUAUUAUGCAAGUGGGUAUUGUGGUUUCCUGGGGUGGAAGAAAUCACUGGGAGAAGCGCGAGAAAAUCGCGGAACGAAUCGCCGGAAAACAUACUCUCUUGGAGGGGGCCGAAUAAGGGCAAGGGCAUAAUGGUCAUUUUCACAGUGUCAAACCAUAGUGAAUGGAUGGCCAACAGAACGGGCUCGACGAAACAAAGAAGUAGGCUUUGGAAUCACCUCAUUUGGAGUUACGGAUAAAAAGAUACGGACAUUUAAAACUCAGGGACUAAUCUGUAAAAAUACUUCUACAAACAGGUCCCUGGCAGUUUUAAACCGAACGCGUCUUUCUGAGAAUAUGCCUUCAAAUCAGGAAAACGGCUUCGCGCCGGGGCUCCUCCACUUAUCCACGUGGCGCUGACCAGUCAAAGAGGCAGCAGCGGGGCCGGGCGCCUGGGUCGCUGCCAGGUGGGGUCACGGGGCCCGCCUGGCCAGGUCAACGCCCCACAUGGCAGGCUCCUUCUCCAGCUGGAUGCGCGCCGGGCCGAGGGGAGGCGACCGCCCCGACGGCGCUCGCAGGUGUGUCCGGCCACGGCAGGCGACGGGCGACCUACCCACGAGAUCGGGAGGAGGAGGCGCACCCCGGGGUAGUAUCCGUUGCCGGCGACGAGCACUGGAGAGGGAGCAGCAGGGGCCGCUGCGGAGAGGAGCUUCGGCCUCGGGAAAACUAGGGCUCCNNNNNNNNNNNNNNNNNNNNNNNNNNNNNNNNNNNNNNNNNNNNNNNNNNNNNNNNNNNNNNNNNNNNNNNNNNNNNNNNNNNNNNNNNNNNNNNNNNNNNNNNNNNNNNNNNNNNNNNNNNNNNNNNNNNNNNNNNNNNNNNNNNNNNNNNNNNNNNNNNNNNNNNNNNNNNNNNNNNNNNNNNNNNNNNNNNNNNNNNNNNNNNNNNNNNNNNNNNNNNNNNNNNNNNNNNNNNNNNNNNNNNNNNNNNNNNNNNNNNNNNNNNNNNNNNNNNNNNNNNNNNNNNNNNNNNNNNNNNNNNNNNNNNNNNNNNNNNNNNNNNNNNNNNNNNNNNNNNNNNNNNNNNNNNNNNNNNNNNNNNNNNNNNNNNNNNNNNNNNNNNNNNNNNNNNNNNNNNNNNNNNNNNNNNNNNNNNNNNNNNNNNNNNNNNNNNNNNNNNNNNNNNNNNNNNNNNNNNNNNNNNNNNNNNNNNNNNNNNNNNNNNNNNNNNNNNNNNNNNNNNNNNNNNNNNNNNNNNNNNNNNNNNNNNNNNNNNNNNNNNNNNNNNNNNNNNNNNNNNNNNNNNNNNNNNNNNNNNNNNNNNNNNNNNNNNNNNNNNNNNNNNNNNNNNNNNNNNNNNNNNNNNNNNNNNNNNNNNNNNNNNNNNNNNNNNNNNNNNNNNNNNNNNNNNNNNNNNNNNNNNNNNNNNNNNNNNNNNNNNNNNNNNNNNNNNNNNNNNNNNNNNGAGGAAGAAGACGAGCUCACGGGCGCGCACUGCUCGACCCUUGGCACGGCUCAUCGGAGAAGAAAAUGGAGGGGGGGGGGGGCGGGGUCCAGGCGAACGGCGACAAUGAUGCAGAGCUACUAGACAUGCGGGGACGAGCCAAAUCCAGCUGGAGCAACGAUGCCGAGGCCAACAGUGGCUAGACCACCGUUUUGGCUGGCUGCCCUCGUGGUCACCACUGGCAUGGUGCACUCUGGAGGUUUUACUGAGGCCAGAUUAUGUCUACCACGUAGUCCUUCAAAGAUAGAUUGUUACUACGGUAAAGGUUUGGGCAGAGACAAAUGGAGCUGAGUAAACCAUGCUCCACAAGUUUGCUGUUGCAAACUUGGCAACAUCCUAGAGGUAAAACCAAAGAGUUUGAAUGGUAAAUUUGAUGUCUGGGAGGCUUAGGGUAGAAAGGACUACAGUCCUGGGGGGUUUGAGGGUAAAUGGAUCAAGAUUUACUGCAGUUGCUUCACAACUGACCAAAAUGGUCCAGAAACUAGAUCAUGAUGAUGCUCUCACAUGGAGUUAUGAAAUGAGAUGCAGCUUGGCAAAUACUCAUGAUAUGGACAUAUAAAGAUUCUGUAAAAAGCUCAUGCCAAAUGGACAAGCCAAAAUGGCACUUGCUUCACAAACAUCAUUUCUGUCCAGAAACUUGGAAUAAUUAUGGUGAUCAAAUGGAUCAAUUAAAUGAUGCAAAAAUGGGUGGAGAGAUGUUUCAUGGGUAUAAGAAUGAUCUGGUAAUUUAUCAGGAUUUUUGAAGCAAUACAAAAUGCACUCGCUUCACAACCUGAAAAUAUUGCCAUAAUCAAAGAUUUGCUCCUAUGCUCACAUAGAUGAUUUUAUGGGACUGCAAAUUGGUGGAGGGGGUUAAUAUGAGCACAUUAAAGAGUGUGCAAAAUUUCAACUCAUUUGGGUACUCUUAGCUAGUACUUCCUUCACAAAGCCUUCUGUUUGACAGAAACUUUGAAAAAUCACUGAGGAAGAUUGACUAGGAAAAUAAAGUUUAACUUGUGCAUGAGGCAAUUAUUCGGACAUAUAAACAUUCCCAAAAAGGAUGGGAGCCACUAGGAAAAAUAUAAAUGACACUUCCUUCACAAAGGGCCAUUCAGGGCAGAAUAGAAAAAGGAAUAUUGGGGAAUUACUUUUGAACAUGGCAAUGAAUAGUUUUGCCAUAUUUGAUCAAGAUAUGACCCAAACAAUUUAUGAGAAUUAUUUGGGAAUUUUUGGAGUGAUGGAAAUAUAGGUUGCUUCACAACCUAGGGCAAUUUGAGUUAUUCCUUUAAUAGAAAAGGAAUAUUCCCAAUAAAAAGAAUAUUGGGAUUUGGGCUAGGAUGAAAAUGACAGGGUCUAGGAGAGGAUUUAGUAAUGACAAGCCACUCUGGAAGCAAAGAAGAGGUCAUCUUCUUCAGUUUCCAGACCACAAAGCCACGAAAAAAAAGAAAACUCAGGCAAAAACCUCGGAAAAACAAAAGGAAAAGAAAGGGCCAAAAAUCAGGCUGUCAUAGUAGUGUCAAAAACCGUCUUACAUUAUGGGACGGAGGGAGUACUACACAAAGUUACCUAUCUCUCACUUUCUCUCCUUUCGUAAAUAGACUAAACCAAGCUUUGUUUGGUGAAAUACAUGACCAAUCGCACGAGGGACAAGACGGGAGGUUGGGCAGUUCUGCACCACCCCGGUCGCCACAGCUCAGCCCCGCGUCAAUCAAAGUGACCAAAGAUCUAAGUGCAGUGAACAAGUUAUAAAUUUUUCUCUUGAGAGUAGAAAAUGAAACCACUGGAAACAAAACGCUUGACUACCAUGAAUCAAGUUUCUAGUAGUGAACUAUUUUGCAAAAAAACAACUACGUUUGCUACCAUAGUAUAAACAAAAAUUUGGCUUCGGAACAAAAACUGCAAGUUGGUGAACAAUAUACUUAACUAUCAUGAACAGAAAAAAAUAUGUGAAUGUGAAUACAUUUUUUAAGUAGAGUGGACAAAUUUCAACAUGAAAAGAAAAGGAAAUAAAACUAUAAAGAACGGGAGGUUGGACUGUGGCGGACAAUUUUUUUCUUACUGCAAUGAACCAACAUUUUAAGUGUAAUGGAUACAUUCUUUAAGUAGACCGAACCAAAAUUUUGACUUCAACACCAAAAUUUAAAUCAUGAUGAACAAAAACUAUAACCGCACUAUGAACAAUAAAUUUUGGACGCCGAUGCCGCACGACUUGUUCGGUACGAGGGGAUUGAUCCCCCCGCAUGAAUUCAUUCGGCAGGGGGAAUCCAUAGCCCACAGGCCUCCAUCACACCAGACCCUUUCCCUGUGAAAAAAAGGAACAUAAAACCCGCUGACGGCGAAUUAAAUGAAAAGACCCAGAUUAUUUUUCCGUGACAAAUAGAAGCCCAGAUUUUGCUCGGCUACUAAAAAAUGCCAUCAUCUUUAAAAAGCAUCAAAAUGAAAAAAAAAAUCCAAAAAUGCCAUUCAAGAUUGACCAAACUAUUUGCCAUUAUAUUCUUUUUUUACAAUGGCAAGGUUUGUAAACACAUAUUUGAUUCCCCAAUAAAGCAUGGCAAAUCUGCCAUGACAAAAAAAAAAUUCCAUAUUGCCAUGUGAAAAAACACAAAAUGAAAAUUCAUGUGAAAAAAGAAAAAUUGCAAGGACAAUAAAGAUAAAAAUGCCAUGGCAUUUUUAAUUAAAUGCCAUUAAAUUUUAAUCAAAAUUGAUGUAUUUUGAAUCAGAAAUUUGCCGUGUGUGAGAAAGAACACAAAUAGUUUAAAAUCAAGUAUGAACAAAGAAAUUUUCUACGGCAGACUCGUAUCAAGAAUUGCCGUGUUUUUGUAUGAUGAAUUUACCUUGUGUGAGAAAAUACAAAAAGUUGGAAAUCAAGUAUGAACAAUUAACUUGCCAUGGCAGAUGUAUAUCAGGAAUUGUCGUGUCUUUGUAUGAUGAAUUGGCAUGUGUGAAAAAACACAAAAAGUUGAAAAUCAAGUAUGAAGAAGAAAAUUGCCAUAACAGAUUCUUAUCAGAACUUGCCAUGGCAUAUUUGUAUUAAAACUUGCCAAGGUGAAAUUUCAUCUAAACUAAAUUUUCCAUGAUUUGAAAACUAAAUUUUCCAUGAUCAAUAAACUAAGUUUGUCAUGAUUUGUAAAAUAAAUUUCCCAUGAACCAAUAAACUAAAAUUUGCCAUGAUCAAUAAAUUCAGUUUGCCAUGAUCAAUAAACUAAAUUUGUAUCAAAACUUGGCAUGGUAGAUUCGUAUCAAGAAUUGUCGUGUUUUGUGUGAUGAAUUUGCCAUGUGUGUGUGUGUGUGUGGAAAAACACAAAAAAUUGAAAAUCAAAAAAUAUGAACAAGAAAAUUGCCAUGGCAGCUUCGUAGCAAAACUUGGCAUGGCAGAUUCAUAUCAAGAAUUGCCGUGUUUGGUAUGAUGAAUUUGCCGUGUGUUAGAAAACGGAAAAGGUUGAAAUUCAAGUAUGAACAAGAAAAUUGCCAUGGCCGAUUCCUAUCGAAACUUACCAUGGCAACUUUGCAUCAAAACUUGCCACGACAAAAUUUAUGUGAAUUAAAUUUAACAUGAUUUGAAAAUUAAAUUUGCCAUGAUUUGUAAACUAAAUUUGCCAUGAACCAAUAAACUAAAUUUGCCAUGAUCAAUAAAAUCAGUUUGCCAUUAUCAAUAAACUAAAUUUGCCAUGGUCAAUAAAUUAAAUUUGCCAUUAUCAACAAACUAAAAGUGCCAUCAGCAUGGCUACUUUGUUACAUACAAAACAUCCAUGCUAUGUGUAAAAAAGGAGAAAAAUGAACACAAAUUGCCAUGCUAUGUGAAAUCAUGGCGGAAGUAGCUACGUAUGUCAUGGGUACUAUGUUAGUAUGUUACAUACAAAACAACCAUGCUACGUGUGUGAUUCUGCCGGGGAUUUGUUUAAAAAGUUUACCAUGGUCCAUGUAAGAAGAUGGUGGCAAUUUUUUUAAGGAUGGCAAGUUUGCCAUGUUUUAGAACCUUUAAAUAUUUGUCAGGCUUUACUGAAGUGCAAAAAAUACAUUUGCCAUGUGACGAUGGUCCCAAAACUUAACAUGCCAAUACAUGUUAAGUUGCCACGGCAAAAUACAUCAUAGGUAAGAAGACCGCCAUAGGUAAAUUUGCCAUGUCAACAUAGAUAGAUUGCCAUGUCAACAUAGGUAAAUUUGCCAUGGCAACUAAAAAAAGAUAAUUUUGCCAAUAUAUAAUUUACAGUAAAAAAGAAGGAAUUAGAAACUUUUGAUUCACUACAACAUCUAGAGAACAAAGUGAUUUAUGGCUAAUCGCAAAAAGCUAGAGUUGUAUGUACUGGUCACAUUGCAAGUUUACAAUUUUUUUUUGUGAUUUAGAUCAUGGCAAAGCUAGAGUUGCAUGUACUGCCCACAUGGCAAGUUUACAUAAACAAAUUGCCACGAUGUAUACCAAACUCAUAGCAGUUUCUGCCAUGGUAACAAAAAGCUAUAAAGAAGGACCAGAAAAAGCAGAAGUACACUGAUGAAUCAACAUGUUUCCUUAGCUCUGAACAGAAAAUGAGGACGCCGGCUUACUCGGGGAUGCAAUUUCUCGAACCUGAUGAAGCACCGGAAGAUGAGCGGGAUGAAGACGAACUCAGGGAAGAUACAACAGAGCUCCAGCACCUGCCCGUCGAUGCCGGUCCAUCACCCAAGCGCCUGCGCGGCCGCAUCCCGCGUCGCCGGGUAUGUUAGACCGACAUGCCCUCGCCCAAAACACGAGCUCAGCCGAGAGCUUGACCACCUCCAGCAGCACCAUGGGCAGCAGACCCACUGCCGACUGCCUCGUCGCCUCACUCAGCUUCCACUCUACCAGAAUCGCUUGGUGAGCUCCGGCCACGAACGCACAUAGCCGACACGGACAAACAAGCUCAUCGUCAUCGGGUGGAGCGCCGUGCAGUACUCCGCGAACUCAGGCGCGACGAGUCCGGCGGGCGGCCGCCAGCCGUCGCCUCACCGGUGAACUACCGCGGUCCAGUGGAUCCCGCGCCACCCUCGUCGAGAUCCUCGCAGCACCACGCCACAACGCCUGACGGGAAUCUCCUCUGCGGGCGACGAACCCCGGAAUCCUGGUGUCGAUGGCGUGCCGGAGGCAGGGCGCCAUAGUUCGAGAGAGAUAGACGUGGCCGCAUGGCCGCUGAUGACAUGGCGACCCAGUGUGCACCGCGAUUCGUGCGUUUGCAUCUAACACCGUCCAGCCAGUGGCACUUAACAUGUAAGGUACUUACUACUACUUCGCUCGAUCUAGGGUUUGAGUGUAAGAUUGAAUGGGAAUUUGAAUUUAGAUAGAGGAUUCCUCCCAGCCACCCACACCUCUAUCCAUCAUCACAAUACAGCUCGGCCGAAGCCAUCCAAUCCUAGCCAACUCAGAGAAGAAAGCGCCAAUGGCUAUAUAUCAUACACCCGCUCAGCGGGCCAAGUCUGGGCUUGCAAGCCACUAGGGAGGCCUCUUGGUCCGGUUCUAUCUGGGCCGAUUCUGGAUCACUAUAGACGUCUUUCUCUUGUCGGCAGCUGGCAUGCAAUGUACUAGCCCUUGAGCAAUGGUACACUUGCCGCUUUGACGCACUCGUUUCUGCAAUAUCUUGACAGGAACCUGCAAGUGAGCAGCAACGGACGGAAGCACUUGCUGGACGGUGCAGUUAGGGUGAAUAACUUGUUUAAGUUGUGAAACAUGGAAGACAGGGUGAAUUUUACUGCCUGGUGGAAGUGCUAGGCGAUAAGCCACUUCCUCAAUCUUCUCCAACACUUCAUACGACCCAAAAUACUUGAAUGCUAACUUGUGGUUACCACUGAAGACAGAACAUAGGCUGAAGCUUCAGAAAAACUUUAUCUCCCACUGCAAAAUGUCUCUCUGUACGAUGCUUGUCUGCUUGAUGUUUCAUGCGCUGUUGUGCUCUCAGCAAAUGUUGUCUGACAGAUUCGACCACCACCUGUCAUUCAUCCAACAACACCUGAAUAUCCACAGGAGCUACAGAAUCUGAUGCAGAUAUACCAAAAUAUCUUGGAGGGUGUCCAUAGAGCAAUUCAAAUGGAGAUUUCCCCACAGCUGAGUGCCAAUUAGUGUUAUACCAGAAUUCACACAUGGGAAGCCAUUUGCUCCAUUUGGUAGGGUGAGAACUGAUGAAGCUGCGAAGAUAUUCUUCCACUUGUUGGUUAACCCGCUCUGUUUGUCCAUCAGUGGUUGGAUGAUAGGCAGAACUCAUGUUGAGAUGAGCUCCAGUUCUUUUAACCUGUUGGGGAACGUAGUAAUUUCAAAAAAUUUCCUACGCACAUGCAAGAUCAUGGUGAUGACAUAGCAACGAGAGGGGAGAGUGUUGGCCACGUACCCUCGUAGACCGUAAGCGGAAGCGUUAUGACAACGCGGUUGAUGUAGUCGUACGUCUUCACGAUCCGACCGAUCCAAGUACCAAACGUACAACACCUCCGAGUUCAGCACACGUUCAGCUCGAUGACGAUCCCCGGGCUCCGAUCCAACAAAGCGUUGGGGAUGAGUUCCGUCAGCACGACGGCGUGGUGACGAUGAUGAUGUUCUACCGGCGCAGGCUUCGCCUAAACUCCGCGACGAUAUGACCGAGGUGGAAUAUGGUGGAGGGGGGCACCGCACAUGGCUAAGGAAUGAUCCGUAGAUCAACUUGUGUGUCAUGGGGUGCCCCCCUGCCCCCGUAUAUAAAGGAGCAAGGGGGGAGGAGGCCGGCCCUAGGAGGGGGCGCGCCAAGUGUGGAGUCCUACUAGGACUCCCUAGUCCUAGUAGGAUUCCACCUCCCUUGUUGGAGUAGGAGAAGGGGAAAGAGGGGGAGAGGAAGAAGGAAAGGGGGGAUGCGCCCCUUGUCCAAUUCGGACCAGAGAGGGGGCGCAGGCCUCCUUCCUUUUGGCCUCUCUCCUCUAUUCCCGUAUGGCCCAAUAAGGCCCAUAUACUCCCCGGCGAAUUCCCGUAACUCUCCGGUACUCCGAAAAAUACCCGAAUCACUCGGAACCUUUCCGAACUCCGAAUAUAGUCAUAAAAUAUAUCGAUCUUUACGUCUCGACCAUUUCGAGACUCCUCGUCAUGUCCCCGAUCUCAUCCGGUACUCCGAACUCCUUCGGUACAUCAAAACUCAUAAUAUAACUGUCAUCGAAACCUUAAGCGUGCGGUCCCUACGGGUUCGAGAACUAUGUAGACAUGACCUAGAACUAUUCUUGGUCAAUAACCAAUAGCGGAACCUGGAUGCCCAUAUUGGCUCCUACAUAUUCUACGAAGAUCUUUAUCGGUCAAACCGCAUAACAACAUACUUUGUUCCCUUUGUCAUCGGUAUGUUACUUGCCCGAGAUUCGAUCGUCGGUAUCCAAUACCUUGUUCAAUCUCGUUACCGGCAAGUCUCUUUACUCGUUACGUAAUGGAUCAUCCCGUAACUAACUCAUUAGCUACAUUGCUUGCAAGGCUUAUAGUGAUGUGCAUUACCGAGAGGGCCCAGAGAUACCUCUCCGACAAUCGGAGUGACAAAACCUAAUCUCGAAAUACGCCAACCCAACAUGUACCUUUGGAGACACCCGUAGUAUUCCUUUAUAAUCACCCAGUUAUGUUGUGACGUUUGGUAGCACCCAAAGUGUUCCUCCGGCAAACGGGAGUUGCAUAAUCUCAUAGUUACAGGAACAUGUAUAAGUCAUGAAGAAAGCAAUAGCAACAUACUAAACGAUCAAGUGCUAGGCUAACGGAAUGGGUCAUGUCAAUCACAUCAUUCUCCUAAUGAUGUGAUCCCGUUAAUCAAAUGACAACUCUUUUGUCCAUGGCUAGGAAACUUAACCAUCUUUGAUUCACGAGCUAGUCAAGUAGAGGCAUACUAGUGACACUAUGUUUGUCUAUGUAUUCACACAUGUAUUAUGUUUCCGGUUAAUACAAUUCUAGCAUGAAUAAUAAACAUUUAUCAUGAAAUAAGGAAAUAAAUAAUAACUUUAUUAUUGCCUCUAGGGCAUAUUUUCUUCAGUCUCCCACUUGCACUAGAGUCAAUAAUCUAGUUCACAUCGCCAUGUGAUUUAACACCAAUAUUCAUAUUUGUAUAUGAUUAACACCCAUAGUUCACAUCGUCAUGUGACCAACACCCAAGGGGUUUACUAGAGUCAAUAAUCUAGUUCACAUCGCUAUGUGAUUAACACCCAAAGAGUACUAAGGUGUGAUCAUGUUUUGCUCGUGAGAGAAGCUUAGUCAAUGGGUCUGUCACAUUCAGAGCCGUAUGUAUUUUGCAAAUAUUCUGUGUCCACAAUGCUCUGCACGGAGCUACUCUAGCUAAUUGCUCCCACUUUCAAUAUGUAUCCAGAUUGAGACUUAGAGUCAUCUGGAUUGGUGUAAAAGUUUGCAUCAUUGUAACUUUUUAUGAUGGGCUCUUUUAUCACCUCCAUAAUCGAGAAACAUCUCCUUAGUCCUCACUAAGGAUAUUCUUGACCGUUGUCCAGUGAUCUACUCUUAGAUUAAUAUUGUAUUCCUUUUGUCAAACUCAGAGCAAGGUAUACAAUAGGUCUGGUUCACAGCAUAGCAUACUUUAUAGAACCUAUGACUGAGGCAUGGGAAUGACUUUUCAUUCUCUUUCUAUUUUCUGCCAUGGUCGGGUCUUGAGUCUUACUCAACUUCACACCUUUGCAUCACAGGCAAGAACUCCUUCUUUGACUGUUCUAUUUUGAACUAUUUCAAAAAUUUAUCAAGGUAUGUACUCAUUGAAAAAACUUAUCAAGCGUCUUGAUCUAUCUCAAUAGAUUUUGAUGCUCAAUUUGUAAGUAGCUUUACUGAGGUCUUUAUUUUAAAGAACUCCUUUCAAAUACUCCUUUAUGCUUUGCAGAAUAAUUCUACAUUAUUUCCGAUCAACAAUAUGUCAUUCACAUAUACUUAUCAGAAAUGCUGUAGUGCUCCCACUCACUUUCUUGUAAAUACAUGCUUCACCAUAAGUCUAUACAAAACUAUAUGCUUUGAUCAACUUAUCAAAGCGUAUAUUCCAACUCUGAGAUACUUGCACCAGUCCAUAGAUGGAUCGCUGGAGUUUGCACAUUUUGUUAGCACCUUUAGGAUUGACAAAACCUUCUGGUUGCAUCAUAUACAACUCUUCUUUAAGAAAACCAUUAAGCAAUGCAGUUUUGACAUCCAUUUGCCAGAUUUCAUGAAAUGCGGUAAUUGCUAACAUGAUUCGGACAGACUUAAGGAUCGCUACAGUUGAGAAAAUCUCAUUGUAGUCAACACCUUGAACUUGUCAAAAACCUUUUUGCGAUAAGUCGAGCUUUGUAGAUAGUAACACUACUAUCAGCAUCUGUCUUCCUCUUGAAGAUCCAUUUAUACAAUAUGGCUUGCCGAUCAUCGGGCAACUCCACCAAAGUCCACACUUUGUUCUCAUACAUGGAUCCCAUCUCAGAUUUCAUGGCCUCAAGCCAUUUCGCGGAAUCCGGGCUCAUCAUCGCUUCCUCAUAGUUCAUAGGUUCAUCAUGGUCUAGUAACAUGACUUCCAGAACAGGAUUACCGUACCACUCUGGUGCGGACCGUACUCUGGAAGACCUACGAGGUUCUGUAGUAACUUGAUCUGAAGUUUCAUGAUCAUCAUCAUUAGCUUCCUCACUAAUUAGUGUAGGAAUCACUGGAACUGAUUUAUGUGAUGAACUACUUUUCAAUUCGGGAGAAGGAACAAAUUACCUUAUCAAGCUCUACUUUCCUCCCACUCACUUCUUUCGAGAGAAACUCCUUCUCUAGAAAGGAUCCAUUUUUUAGCAACGAACGUUUUGCCUUCAGAUCUGUGAUAGAAGGAUUACCCAACAGUUUCCUUUGGGUAUUCUAACACGCACUUCUCCAAUUUGGGUUUGAGCUUAUCAAGAUGAAACUUUUUCACAUAAGCAUCGCAGCCCCAAACUUUAAGAAACGACAACUUGGGUUUCUUGCUAAACCACAGUUCAUAUAGUGUCAUCUCAAUGGAUUUAGAUGGUGCCCUUUUAAUUGUGAAUGCAGAUGUCUCUAAUGCAUAACCCCAAAAUGAUAGUGGUAAAUCAGUAAGAUACAUCAUAGAUCGCACCAUAUCCAAUAAAGUGCGGUUACGACAUUUCGAUACACCAUAACGUUGUGGUGUUCCAGGUGGCGUGAGCUAUGAAACUAUUUCACAUUGUUUUAAUUGAAGACCAAACCUGUAACUCAAAUAUUCGUCUCCGCGAUCAGAUCGCAGAAACUUUAUUUUCUUGUUACGAUGAUUUUUCCACUUCACUCUGAAAUUCUUUGAACCUUUCAACUAUUUCAGACUUAUGUUUCAUCAAGUAGAUAUACCCAUAUCUGCUCAAAUCAUCUUGUGAAGGUCAGAAAAUAAUGAUACUUGCCACGAGCAUCAACACUCAUUGGAUCACAUACAUCGGUAUGUAUUACUUCCAAUAAGUUAGUACCUCGUUCCAUUGUUCCAGAGAACGGAGUUUUAGUCAUCUUGCCCAAAAGGCACGGUUCGCAAGCAUCAAAUGAUUCAUAACCAAGUGAUUCCGAAAAUCCAUCUUUAUGGAGUUUCUUCAUGCGCUUUACACCGAUAUGACCCAAACGGCAGUGCCACAAAUAAGUUGCACUAUCAUUAUUAACUUUGCCUCUUUUGGCAUCAAUAUUAUGAAUAUGUGUAUCAUCAUGAUCGAGAUCCAACAAACUAUUUUCAUUGGGUGUAUGACCAUUGAAGGUUUUAUUCAUGUAAACAGAACAACAAUUAUUCUCUGAUUUUAAAUGAAUAACCGUAUUGCAAUAAACAUGAUCAAAUCAUAUUCAUGCUCAACGCAAACGCCAAAUAACAUUUAUUUAGGUUUAACACUAAUCCUGAAAGUAUAGGGAGUGUGUGAUGAUGAUCAUAUCAAUCUUGGAACUAUUUCCAACACUCAUCAUCACUUCCCUUCAACUAGUCUCUGUUUAUUAUGUAACUCCUGUUUCGAGUUACUAAUCUUAGCAACUGAACAAGUAUCAAAUACUCAGGGGCUACUAUAAACACUAGUAAGGCACACAUCAAUAACUUGUAUAUCAAAUAUACCCUUGUUCACUUUGCCAUCCUUCUUAUCCACCAAAUAUUCAGGGCAUUUCCACUUCCAGUGACCAUUUCCUUUGCAGUGUAAGCACUCAGUUUCAGGCUUUGGUCCAGCUUUGGUCUUCUUCAUGGGAGUGACAACUUGUUUGCCAUUCUACUUGAAGUUUCCCUUUAUUUCCCUUUGCCCUUUUCUUGAAACUAGUGGUCUUUUCAAUCAUCAACACUUGAUGCUCUUUCUUAAUUUCUACCUUCAUCGAUUUCAACAUCACGAAGAGCUCGGGAAUCAUUUUCGUCAUCCCUUGCAUACUAUAGUUCAUCACGAAGUUCUAGUAACUUAGUGAUGGUGACUAGAGAAUUCUGUCAAUCACUAUCUUAUCUGGUUGGGGAUAUUACCACUAGGCGUAAACCGACCUACUUGGGCCGGGUUAACUUCAUUAGUGGUAUAAGCAGAUGAAGGCCCAAGGCCUGUAGUCGGGUUUAGAACCUGUAGCCGUAAACCGGCCUGAUGUAUAACUUGUAUUGUAAGUUAGGAAUAGAGAGAUACCAACCGGGAUACGAGUAUGAACCGGUUGGGACUCUAUGAACCGACGGGCGUCACCCGUGUAUAUAAGGGGACGACCCGGCGGCGGUUCAAAGAUAGACAACCACAACUCGAGCCUAGGCGAAGCUUGUUUGCUCCCUAGCCAUCGAGACCACAUCAAUUCCAUCACAACUAGACGUAGACUUUUACCUUCAUCGAAGGGGCCGAACUAGUAUAAAACCCUCGUGUCUUUGUGUCCGCUUUAACCCCUUCAAUUAAACUCGUAGCGAUGGCUCCACGACUAAGUCCUUUCACUAGGACAUCUGCCGUGACAAAUCCACGAUAGUUGGCGCCCACCGUGGGGCUAUCGCACGAUGGUUUGACGGUCUUGGAGGGCAAGCUCAAGGGACUCGAAGGCUAUGUUGUGGGCCGGAUGACCAAGAGUCGUCGUGGCAGGAUCUACAUCGACGACGCAGGAUGGGGUCCCGAGGCCGAUUCGAUCGAGUACGGGUACCGGCUCCCCUUUGGUGGCAUACACGUUUUCAUCGGCAAGAUCGGUGAGCCUGGGCCUGAGCCGGACAUCUGCACCAACCUCAUUGAGACGGCUCAGCGUGCGAGAUCUACCCAGGCUAAACCGGCCGUGAAGCGUGUCCUCGUUGGAGUCAUCCACGGAGGAGAGCGUGAGGACGAAUCAGAACACGGUAGCGAGACCGUCGUCUAUUCCGGUGACGAGUCCUCAACCGGAGAGACCGAAUCGCUAUACCAGUUGCAAGACGAUAUGGUCAGGGGUUGUUCCGAUGGCGACAGUAUUCCAGACCCCCCAAGCCAGGUCAACCGGGUUGGAAUAUUCAUGGCCGGCACACAGGCGGCGAAUCACUCUUCGACCGCCACAGCGAUGCUCUCCGGAUCAGCAGCGGCAGCGGCAGCAGGGGCAGGAGGCCUUGUGCGCCCGCCGGUUCAAGUUCUAUCUGAUCUGUUUGAUGCACUAGCCGCGCUUAUGGCAGAGGCCAAUCCGGCGGAUCAGGAGGCCCAUGAUGCAGAGAUUGCAAAGGUGAGAGAGCAGAUAGUACAAGCCAAAGCGGAUCUGGCAGCAGAAAAAGACAGGAUGGCUGCAGAGCGGGCCGCUUUGGACGCCCAGGCCUACAAACUCAUGCUUGAUCAGAACGCAUCACAGGAGGUUUUGAAGCGGAAGUAUAGAUCACGCCUGCCAUUAGGGUUUGACCCCCGAAAUCUCUUUCAGACUCCAGGAGCUGGACCCAGUAAUCCGCCGCAGCACCUGGAGACAAACCGGAUUGAGGCACCAGGACCAGGGGCGAUGGUCCAACCUCGCCUGAUGGAACCUCCUUAGCAGAACAUUGUGGUUCCUCCGCCGGUCCAGACGCCCCCAGGUCAUUAUUCUAAUCCUAUGGACAACCUUGUUGCAGCCGCCGCGCGAUUAGAGGCUAUCCCAGUCGAAGGGGACUCUCCGCAAGCGGUAGAGACGCGUCGGGUUAAGGAGCUUCUCCAGACCGCGCUGAUUCAGCAGGAAGCAUAUUCGUACAGCCGUGAUCGGAUUCACUCUACGCCCCGUCCAAGCCGGAGCUAUAGCAGGCGCAUGGAUGAACCGGCCAUAUCGAGCAAUGCGCGAGGCCGUGAAGCGGCCCGUGGCAAUAACCCGGCAGGUGGUGUCUGCGAUGCUCAGGAUGUGGUGGACCGGGCCCGGGCACGAAGGGAGGCCGAGUUAGCAGCACAGGAUGAUGCGGGUCAACUUACACCGGUUCGCCCUACCACCUUUGCCGGACCAGGAGUCGCAUCCGCUUUGGGAGUGCCUUGUUUAAUCCCCGCUUUACGCAAUGUACGCCUGCCCAAAGAUUUCAAGGGUCCGCGCAAGGUGCCGAAUUACACCGCUGAUUUAUCCCCCGAAGCGUGGGUAGAGAGCUAUGAGAUGGCCAUGGAGAUGCUAGACGUGGAUGGGACCGCGUGUGCAAAGUACUUCACCAUGAUGCUUGAAGGCACGACUCGUACUUGGUUAAAGAGCCUACCGCCCAAUUCUAUCAGCUCAUGGGCCCAGUUGCGGGCCCGGUUUAUCCAGAAUUUCAAGGAUACAUGUAAGCAGCCCAAGUCCAUAGUAGACCUGGCGGCUUGUGUCCAGGAGGAAGGAGAAUCAACGACCCAUUGGGUGCGCCGUGUUUCGGAAAUUUUGCACUCGUCUGACAGGAUUAAUGCUGACUCUGCGAUCUUAACCCUGGAAGGCAACUGCCGGUUUGAGCCUUUAAAAUUGAAAUUGGGACGCAUGAAGCGGUUCUGUAAUGACAUGGGAACCCUCAUGGCCUCUUUAGUGAAGUAUGCUGAUUCGGACAGUACCAAGGAUCCCGAGAUUGAUGAUGAUGAAGCAGGGAAGGGAAAGAAGAAUAGCAACUCCAAGGGGCAACAGUACAAACCGGCGGGUCAUGGAAACGGAGGCAAGCGCAAGGCGGAUGGCAGCAUGGACUUUGUGGCCAACACUAAUGCACAGGACAGGGGGCAGCGGCGCAGAGGUAAAGCGGCAAAUCGUAAUGGGGCUCCCAAUCCUAACGCAAGCCGUUUGAAUUAUUUGCUGAAUCAGCCUUGCCCAAAGCACGGGACGAAGGAGUCGCCGGCUAACCACCUUUGGAAGGAUUGUUAUAUUAUGCAGGAGUUUAAAAACUCUAAUGCCUUUCGGUAUGACCAUGGGUCAGGUGGCGGUUCAGGAUCCGGUUUCCAUGGGCCGGGUCAUGAUGGAGCCUCCGGUUCAGGUCUCAAUCAGGGCGGUCACAACAACUAGAAUAAUCAGCAGCAGCAGCAGCAGCAGUCGGGUUAUCAGAGCCAGCCAAAACAGUUGAACAAUGGGCAAUAUCAUAUUUUCACAACUAGCUUGGAUAAACGCGACCGAAAACUCCACAAGCGAGCGGUGAAUUCUGUUGAACCGGCCUUACUGCGUUACUUGCGCUGGUCUGAGCAGCCUAUCAUGUGGAGCAGAGAGGAUCACCCACCCCGGGUUGAUAAUCCGGGCCAGCUAGCAUUAGUGGUAGACCCUCAAGUGGGGGGUUACAAAUUCACCAAGGUACUCAUGGAUGGAGGGAGCAGUAUUAACAUACUAUACUAUGAGACAUUCCGCCGCAUGGGUCUAACAGACAAGGAUCUCAUACCGUCUAACACAGUGUUCCAUGGUGUGGUGCCUGGCAAAUCUGCAUAUCCUGUCGGUAAGAUAGCCCUGGAUGUGGCUUUUGGGGACGAGCACGACUCCCGGUCAGAAAAACUAACAUUUGAGGUGGUGAAGAUCCGGAGCCCGUAUCACGCCUUGUUUGGCCGGCCGGCUUAUGCCAAGUUCAUGGCGCGGCCUUGUUAUAUCUACCUACAGCUCAAGAUGCCGGGCUACAAGGGGACAAUAACGGUUCAUGGGAGCCGUAGGGUCGCUUUGGAAUGUGAGGAAGGUGAUGCGGCUUAUGCAGAGUCGGUCUGUGCCACGGAGGAGUUGAAGUACUAUAAGGACAAUGUUGAUCCGGCGGAUAUGACUCCUUUGAAGAAGCCAACUACAGAACAUGAUUCGGAUCUGAAGUUCAAUCGGCAGCAGAGACCAAGCUUGUUGACUUUGUGCCUGGCGAUUCGUCCAAACAGUUCACUGUCAGUGCCAAUCUGGAUCCCAAAUAGGAAAGCGCGCUCAUCGAGUUCAUCCAUGAGAAUCGGGACAUCUUUGCAUGGAAACCGUCCGACAUGCCAGGUGUACCGAGGGAACUCUCUGAGCACACUCUUAAUGUGGAUCCUAAGUAUAAACCGGUGAAACAAUUCCUCCGCCGGUUUAACGAAGAAAGGCGUAAAGCCAUUGGAGAGGAAGUGGCCAGGCUUUUAGGAGCUGGCUUUAUCAUUGAAGUGUUCCAUCCAGAGUGGCUUGCUAAUCCGGUGCUGGUUCUUAAGAAAAACGACACUUGGCGUAUGUGUGUGGAUUACACAGAUCUUAACAAGGCCUGUCCAGCGGAUCCUUUUGCCCUCCCCUGCAUUGACCAGAUCAUUGAUGCCACGGCGGGUUGUGAGCGUUUCAGUUUUUUGGAUGCAUACUCUGGAUAUCAUCAGAUCAAAAUGGCGGUUAAGGACCAGGAGAAGACAGCGUUUAUUACUCCCUUUGGAGCCUUCUGCUAUGUAUCUAUGCCCUUUGGGCUCAAGAGUGCCCAAGCCACCUAUCAACGGUGCGUACAGAAUUGCCUGCAUAAACAGAUCGGCCGCAAUGUGCACGCUUAUAUGGAUGAUAUUGUAGUGAAGUCAAGGCAGAAGGAGACGCUGGUAGAUGAUUUGAAGGAGACCUUUGACAACUUGCGAGUUUACAAGAUGAUGCUUAACCCGGCCAAAUGUGUCUUUGGUGUUCCGGCAGGCAAAUUACUGGGUUUCCUGGUGUCUAACAGAGGAAUUGAGGCUAAUCCGGAGUGUAUCAACGAUGUUCAGCGUUUGGCGGGCCGAAUCGCCGCACUGAGCCGGUUUAUCAGCCGCGUCGGAGAGAAGGCCAUCCCUUUGUACCAAAUGCUGAGGAAGACAGACAAUUUUGUCUGGAGUCCGGCUGCUGAUGAGGCAUUUGAGGACUUGAAGCGGCAAUUAGCCAAUCCGCCUGUUCUUGCAGCUCCGGUUGACAAGGAGCCACUAUUAUUAUAUGUAGCAGCCAAUGCUCGGGCAGUUAGCGUGGCUAUUGUGGUGGAACACCAAGAGGCAGGCAAGGAAUAUCUGGUUCAGCGACCGGUUUAUUAUAUCAGCGAGGUGCUUAUUGAAUCCAAGCAAAGGUAUCCGCAUUGGUAGAAGCUGGUCUAUGGUGUCUUCAUGGCCAGCCGGAAGUUGAAGCAGUAUUUUCAAGGGCACCCCAUCACAGUGGUCAGUUCAGCUCCCUUGGGUGAUAUCAUACAGAACCGGGAGGCGACUGGCCGGAUCGCCAAGUGGGCUAUAGAGCUUGGGCCACACGGACUGAAGUAUGUACCUCGGACGGCGGUGAAAUCUCAAGCACUUGUUGAUUUCAUCAAUGACUGGACGGAGUUACAAGCACCAGAGCCCGGAUCACACAUAUUGGACUAUUUAUUUUGAUGGAUCCAGGCAAUUGGAAGGCUCGGGGGCUGGAGUCGUAUUAACUUCCCCACGAGGUGAUAAGUUUUGUUAUGUUCUCCGCUUAAUGUUCCCUUGUACUAAUAAUGCAGCUGAGUACGAAGCCUUGCUCCAUGGUCUACGGAUGGCUAAAGAGAUGAAUUUAAGCCGGGUUAAGUGCUUCGGUGACUCGGACCUCGUGGCUCAACAUGUGUCUGGCACUUGGGAUUCUAAGGACCCGCUCAUGGCUGCAUAUCGUCGGGAAGUGGAUAAUAUUGCGGGUUGCUUCAAGGGUUAUCAAGUGGAUCAUGUGGACCGUCGGAAGAAUGAAGCGGCGGACGCUUUAAGCCGGUUGGGUUCUCAGUGCAAACCGGUCCCGCCUAAUGUCUUUCUGGACGUGUUGCACAACCCGUCAGUCCAGCUCCCAGGUGAAGCGGAUUUGGCUAUUCCUGAUCCGGAGGCUCAAUUGGUGGCAGCCCUGCAUAUUAUUCCGGAUUGGACAGUUCCUUAUCUUGCAUACAUGAACCGGGGGGAGUUACCAGAGGAUGAGAUUCUAGCCAGGCAGAUAGUCCGGCGAUCCAAGUCUAUGACGAUUCUCAAUGGUGAAUUGCAUCAUUGCAGUGUAUCAGGGGCGUUUCAACGUUGUGUUUCUCCUGAGGAAGGCUGUGAUAUCUUAAGAGAAAUCCAUGAAGGGGAUUGUGGACACCACGCCGGUUCAAAGUCUCUGGUGGCAAAGGCGUUUCGUCACGGGUUUUACUGGUUGACAGCGCAUGCUGAUGCGGAGGACUUGGUUAAACGGUGUGAUGGAUGUCAGAAAUUUUCAAGGCGUGCUCAUGUGCCGGCUCAAGAAUUGAGGAUGAUUCCAAUAACGUGGCCGUUUGCAACUUGGGGGGCUGGAUAUGGUCGGACCUUUUAAAAGAUCCAAGGAUAAGAAACCCCACCUUUUGGUGGCAGUUGACAAAUUUACCAAGUGGGUUGAAGCGGAGCCUGUCAGCAAGUGUGAUGCAUCAACAAUGGUGCAGUUCAUCAAAAAGGUGAUUUUCCGGUUUGGCUUUCCACACAGUAUCAUUACUGACAAUGGUACCAAUUUAUCCAAGGGUGCUAUGAAGGAGUUCUGUGAACGUGAGCACAUCCGACUUGACGUGUCGUCAGUGGCACACCCCCAGUCCAAUGGACAGGCAGAACAAGCUAAUCAAGAGAUCUUGCAAGGCAUCAAACCCCGGCUUAUGGUCCCAUUACAAAGGACACCAGGAUGUUGGGUUGAAGAGCUACCAUCUGUGCUAUGGAGUAUCAAUACUACGCCAAACCGGUCCACAGGAUACACACCAUUUUUCAUGGUCUAUGGAGCAGAGGCAGUUCUCCCUAGUGAUAUCCGGCACGAUUCACCUCGUGUGGCAGCUUAUGUUGAAGCGGACAACGAGACAACACGGCAAGACGCUUUGGACCUAUUGGACGAGGAGCGUGAUAUAGCGGCUGCCCGUUCGGCGAUUUACCAGCAAGAUCUUCGUCGUUAUCACAGUCGCCGGGUUAGAACCAGAACUUUUCAAGAAGGAGAUUUGGUGCUUCGACUCAUCCAAGACCAGACAGAUAUGCACAAGUUAUCCCCACCUUGGGAGGGACCUUUCGUGGUCAGCAAGAAUCUGCACAACGGGUCGUACUAUCUGAUUGAUAUUCGAGAGCAUCAAGACUCACGCACAUCAGAGGAGGAGACCAACAGGCCGUGGAACAUAGCUCAUCUUCGGCCUUACUACACUUGAACCAUCGGCUCUAUCUAUGUACAUAUCAUGACAGUGUAUAUAUUAUCUUUGAUAUAAUAAAACCGGAGCCUCAGCUAAAGCGGGGUCUCUGUCUUUCUUAUCAUGCGUGGUUACAUGGAGUAGCUCUAUUUUUAAAGCGGCCUCCGGUUUACCCCUUGACAUUUGCUUUUUUAUAUAUCACUAGGGGCCUUGGUCGUGUCCGAACCAACGCGACACCUUUUGAUAGGCGACAGCCACCAGAUCACUUGGGGACAUGGUCAAGUCUGAACCAGUCACGCCUCUUGGUCGGCCUAAGGCCACAAAAUCACUUGGGGGCUUGGUCGAACCCGAACCAUUGCCACGCCUCUUGAUCUGGCAUAUAUGCCACGAAUCAUUUGGGGACCUGGCUGACUUGAAUCAUUGUCACUCCUAUUGGGGGCUUGGUCCUGUCCGACCAUGGUAACACCAUCUGAUCAGCUCAGUAUAGCAUAUUUUUGCAAACGGUUUUUAUCAUUGCCUUUGCUUCCAUGUUAUUUUCAUGGCUUGUUUGUUCUUUGUUUUUGUUGGAUUUCUUUUAUGUCAACAAACACCUUUUUCCGGUUCAGCCGAUGGAUUUGAUUCCCCUUUAAUCCGGAGAAGUAUGCCCGGUUUACCUUUUCCUGUUAACAUCAUGGAGUAACAAGGGGGCUUGUAUUGAUUCCGUACGGUUUAUACGGGAGCUGUUUUCUCCCCCCUUAUUGACGGUAAUGGUUUAUAAAACCGCCGCUUCAAGCUUGGAUAAGCCAGCUUCAUGCCAAGACAUGGCAGGUAUUUUGUAUCACCUAUUUGUUAUAUUACUGAUACACAUAUCAAGAUCAUAAACCGGCUGGCGGUAUAACCGCCACCGAAGUUCAAAUUUUUCUGAUUGCAGGAAAUAUGAAUCGAGGUUUUUCGAACAAAAGCUUCAGUACUUAUGCACGAAGGCAUACUCAAGAUAAAAGUAUUAACUAUCCUAUUACAAGGCAACACGGUGCCCAAAUAAGAUCAUUGUUCUUUUGGAAAGAUGCCAAAGACAGCUAUCCAAACCGGCUUCCGGUUCAAGCCUGCUCCUCAUCAUCCGCCGCUUCAGCUUCCUCGUCUCUACCCAUUUGCUGGAAAUCAACAGUGGUCCAGUCGAUUCCCAUUAAAGCUUGGAAAACAGCCUCUUCAUGGAUCAGGGAAGACGGUUCAAUAUCAGGAGCGUAAGUGUGCUUACGGAUUGGAGGGAUCAGAUUCUCCGCUUCAAGAGUUGGGGCAGGCACUCGCUUGUUCUGGUCAUUGUAUUGUGCUCGAUAAUGCGUCAAGUCUGCCUCUUCAGCUAGCUGACAAGCCAGAGGGCGCACUGCACGGUUUAUUGCCCUUAAAUCCUCUUCGUUAAAUUCAGAGCCAUCUUCCUUCACGCUGGGAUAGCCUUGAGCUGCUUCCACAGGGUCAAAAUCUGGCACCCAUGCCUUGGCCCGGAUCAAGGCGUUAAUAGCGCCGGUUCGAGCAGCAGAUUUUUUCAGCUCCUCAAUCCGGGCCGGAAGCAUCGACAACCUGUUCAGAGUGUCCUGGAUUAAAGAAGGUGCUGGGUUGUUAUGAGAGGCUGUGGUGAUGAUCCGCUGGGCUCCGGUAUAUAAUUGUUCUACUAAGGUGUAGGCAGCCUUCAGUUUCUUCCGCACAUCAUUUCCUAAGUGCCCGAUGCGCGUGCCUACAACUAGAUAGGAACGGUCUCAAACCGGAUUUAUACUACAGAAAGGUUCAAGUUAUCACAGAAGUUAAAAUUAUCUUACCAAAGAUCGCAGCGGUCAUAGAGUGUAUUUGCCGCUUUACGGCCGUAAGUUCAUCCACCACCGGUUUAAGGGCAGCUUCAGCAUUUUUUGCUCUUUUGAUUAAAGCGGCCUUCUCAGUGGCCCAAUCAGCCCGCUCUUUCUUGAAGCUUUCCUUCAGCUGUUUAGUGGUGCUCAAGGCGCUGGUUAAUUCUUCCUUGGCCUUGUCUGCUUCAGCCUGUUGGGUUUUCAAGACCUCCUGCAAAUCGGCAAUCCGGUCCUCCUUGAUUCUCACCUCAGCCUGCAUACAGACGGUAUUUAGCUUUCAACAAGCGGUUCAAGAAAUUGAAGUAUCAACCACAUAACAAAGUUAUACGCCUGAUACUUGGGGGCUAAUGCACCUUCAAUUUUUAUAUAUAUUACUAGAUUGCAAAGUCCCAAGCUCAAUACAAGUAUUCAACUUGGCACUUGGGGGCUAAUGGCUAUUUUAUCAAAUUAUGUUCUAAGGACAGUUUUCUAUUGGAGCCCCGGUUUACUUAUGCUACGUUAAACUGGCCCUUGGGGGCUAUAUUGAUGGAUUUCAAAGUGUUGAGGAUCGUAUUCAAGUCCCGGUUUGACUAAAGGUUACAAACCAACCCUUGGGGGCUACGAGGAUUGACACAAUGGCAGAAAGUAAAGAAGUUACCUCAAAUUUAUCCCUCAUCAUCUUCACCAGACCAGCUUCAUAGUCACGGCUAGUAUAAAGCCGGUUUAAAUAGCCGGAAUGAAGAUCUUGGGCACUCAGAGCAGCAUAUGUUUCUAGUUCAACAUCCCAUUUUCCUUUGUUCGGAGUGGAAAAAUCCUCUUUUAUGGUAUGCUUGGUAAGGGUGACAGGAUUUCCAGGCUCAAAGCGGCCCACACCGGUAAUCACAACGUCAUCAUCUUUGGACUCGCCGGUUUGUGUUGGUGCGGCCGUUUUGUCAGCAGGACUGUGGGAUUUCUCAAUCCGGACAGAGCUGGCAGGCGGGUCAGCAGAGGCUGAAGUGUUAAUAGGCCUCUCUUCGGGAAUAGCAUCAUCUUGCAAAGGAGGAUCAUUGGGAAUAUCUUCAGCAACAAACUCUUCAAGAUCUGGUACUUUGUCAUGUUCUGGGGCUACAUCUUCUUCAACCGCUUUAUCCAGGCGGGCCUUCUUGCUUGGUUUCGGUUUGGCCCUGAAAGAAGAACAAGGAGUCAAGGAAAAGCAUAAGCCAUUACACAAUAUACUGGAAGCAUAUGUUCAGUUUAGCUUACCCAGCAACUAUUUUCAAAGGUGGUAGCUGAGUGGCCGACGAUUCACCAGAAGAUGAAUGAGAAGUGACCUGAUAAUCGGAGUCGGAUGGAUUAAGAGGUUGACGGAAGAAACCCGCUUUAGGAUUUAAAUCAAUAAAAAGGUCGGAGACCUCAGAGCGGCGUUUUUGAACCGGGCUGUUUGGUAAACCGGCAGAGGUAACUACCUGGCCACUGUGCCGGGUUGUGCGGCGAGCUUCAUGUUGCUGAGUCUUCAUAAGAAAUUUGGGAUCCAAGUAAGCAAGAGGAUGAGAAAAUUUAACUUUCCGGUUUGCCUGGCGAAAUUUUGGCAAAGGAAAGAUUUCUGAAUCGGAAGAGAGAAUAGUUACCUCAACGAAUCCCUCAUUGCUGGCUUCAGCGUCGUCCUGACAAGUAUCAUCAUCAAUAAGGCGUGUAAAAAGUAAGCCAAGUGAAUCAAGUUCUACCUCAAGAUCCGGGUUACCCACAUCAUCAUCAAUAGCUGGAUUAGAUGAAGCGGUGGUUUUUCUCUUGUGAGCUGGUUUCUUAAUAACCUUGGUCUUGGGCCGGGUUGGCCGCCUUGCCUUCUCCGUUUUAUCUUGUGAAAGUUUCUUGCUCCAAAACGGAUUAUCACCCUGGAUCAGUAGUAAUUAAACGUCAAACAAAUAAAGCAGUAACAGAUUCAACAAUAGAGCAACUAAAAUCUUACCGCUGGCGGUUUGUUGGUGGUGCAGUAAGGAAGUAGACCGGUUUGAGCACAGAGGUGCUCCGAUUCAUUCAACAUCUUCUUUACAGAAUCUGUGACUUCAUCGUCGGAGAGUUGGAUUUUAAUGUGUCGGAGUGGGUCAUCGACGCUACCAGUAUACUUGCACAUCAAACCGGGCGCCGGCUCAGAGGCAGUAUGCUCCAUGAUAUCCAGCAGCGUGCAAGGUCUAUUCCUGUUAAACCAUUGACCAUAAAGGCUCAGAGCUUGGACAGUUGCGGAGCAUAUUUAAUUCUCUCCUUGGCGCUUAGUCUUUGUGGAAAAGGGUGAGUGUUGCUGAGCCGUUCCAGACGGAAGCCAGGCAAGGGAUUUUCAUUCUCAGGGGAGGUAUCCUUGCAAUAAAACCAAGUUGCAUUCCACUCCUUGGGGUGAGUAUGGAGUUUGACAUGGGGAUAAGUGAUUUCUUUCCUCUUCUGAAUGGCCAUACCGCCCAAUUCAGUAUUGGGACCGUUGGUAAAUUCAGUACGACGGUUUAAAUGGAAGAGGUCUCUAAACAACUCGACCGAAGGCUCCUCUUGAAGGUAUACCUCAGAAAGUACUUGAAAAUGACAUAGAUUGGUGACAUAAUUGGGGCCAAUAUCCUGGGGACGGAGCUGAAAGUUGGCUAACACAUCCCGGUAAAAUUUUGAACCGGGCGGUUUGAAGCCCCGGGCCAAGUGAUCUGCGAAGACCACAACCUCUCCUUCCUGGGGUGUGGGAGGACAUUCAUCUCCAGGAACCCUCCAGUGGAUUGUAUCUUUACUGUCUAAAGAGCUGAUCAAGACUAGAUCGUCCAACUGUGAUUCUGUGACGCGAGAAGGAACCCAAUUGCACUCAUACACUUGUUUGGCCAUGGCGAGAUCUACAAGAAAUAGGUGAUCCGGUUCAAGAACACGCUGGAUAAAAGAAGGUGUUGAUCUAAACUACGAUAAACCGGAGGCAGUACCUAUAAACCGGUCUUCUACAAUACGGCGUCAUAUGGAUUCUGGCGGUUCAACCAGGGGACUAAUGAUAUAUACCGGUUUAGCAAUUUUUUCUAUGGUAAGUUAAACCGCCUGACCUAAGCAUCGGAAGCAAUUGAAGCUAUGGAUAACUAGGUAUGCAGAAACAAGUUUCACAAGAUCUUAUUACAGCUGCGGAUCUACAGCGAGCUCACAAAAACAGAAAAUAUUUCGAAGAGUAAGGCAGAAACAGAAGUGAACUAUUGAGCAGAUAUGUGCGGGAGAUCUAUGGGUUUAGAUGAGAAACUACAGGGGAUGCGUAGAGAUCACUACUAAACACAGCAUAAGUUCACGGAUUCAUUCAAGGUCAGAGAACAGAUAUGAGCGCGCGAUGAACACAGCAUGAACAUGGAACCCUAAGAACAGAUCUAGGUCAAAAAGAGGAGAAAGCUUACCGGGAACGGAGAAGAUGCGGAAAGAUGCCGCAAUGCUCUGGUACGUUCAGGUCGAUGCAGCGGCCCAAGACGAGGCAGAGGUCGACGGCGGUGGCGGAGCUCCAAGGCCAGCGACGCGAGGAAGACGAAGAAGAAGGGACGAAGGGAAAGGAAAAAAAUGACCCUUUGGUCUUAUUUAUAAGGCAACAGAGCUAGGUCAAGCGCGCGGAUCCAGGAGCUAUUGUUAAAAGAGGGCGUUAUAAAUGACAAAUUUCAUGAUGACGUCAUGCCGGUUUACAGCAACCAAAAAUGAUGACGACAUGGCGGUUUACCAAUUACCAGAAGAUGUCCAAGACACAAGAUUUUGUGAAGGAUUGACAUGAACCAGUUCAAAUCAAUCUGGGGCCUAAUGUUGGGGAUAUUACCACUAGGCGUAAACCGGCCUACUUGGGCCGGGUUAACUUCAUUAGUGGUAUAAGCAGAUGAAGGCCCAAGGCCUGUAGUCGGUUUAGAACCUGUAGCUGUAAACCGGCCUGAUGUAUAACUUGUAUUGUAAGUUAGGAAUAGAGAGAUACCAACCGGGAUACGAGUAUGAACCGGUUGGGACUCUAUGAACCGACGGGCGUCACCCGUGUAUAUAAGGGGACGACCGGCGGCGGUUCAAAGACAGACAACCACAACUCGAGCCUAGGCGAAGCUUGUUUGCUCCUUAGCCAUCGAGACCACAUCAAUUCCAUCACAACUAGACGUAGGCUUUUACCUUCAUCGAAGGGGCCGAACUAGUAUAAAACCCUCGUGUCUUUGUGUCCGCUUUAACCCCUUCAAGUAAACUCGUAGCGAUGGCUCCACGACCAAGUCCUUUCACUAGGACGUCUGCCGUGACAAAUCCACAACAUAUCUGGAAGAUUAACUCCCACUUGAUUCAAGCGAUUGAAGUACCCAGACAAUCUGAGCACAUGCUCACUAGUUGAGCGAUUCUCCUCCAUCUUUUAGCUAUAUAACUUGUUGGAGACUUCAUAUCUCUCAACUCGGGUAUUUGAUGGAAAUAUUAACUUCAACUCCUGGAACAUCUCAUAUGGUCCAUGACGUUCAAAACGUCUUUGAAGUCCCGAUUCUAAGCCGUUAAGCAUGGUGCACUAAACUAUCAAGUAGUCAUCAUAUUGAGCUAGCCAAACGUUCAUAACGUUUGUAUCUGCUCCUGCAAUAGGUCUGUCACCUAGCGGUGCAUUAAGGACAUAAUUCUUCUGUGCAGCAAUGAGGAUAAACCUCAGAUCACGGAUCCAAUCCGCAUCAUUGCUACUAACAUCUUUCAACAUGAUUUUCUCUAGGAACAUAUCAAAAUAAACAUAGGGAAGCAACAACGCGAGCUAUUGAUCUACAACAUAAUUUGCAAAAUACUACCAGGACUAAGUUCAUGAUAAAUUUAAGUUCAAUUAAUCAUAUUACUUAAGAACUCCCACUUAGAUAGACAUCCCUCUAAUCCUCUAAGUGAUUACGUGAUCCAUAUCAACUACACCAUGUCCGAUCGUCACGUGAGAUGGAGUAGUUUCAACGGUGAACAUCAAUAUGUUGAUCAUAUCUACUAUAUGAUUCAUUCUCGACCUUUUGGUCUCCGUGUUCCGAGGCCAUAUCUGUUAUAUGCUAGGCUCGUCAAGUUUAACCUGAGUAUUCCGCGUGUGCAACUGUUUUGCACCCGUUGUAUUUGAACGUAGAGCCUAUCACACCCGAUCAUCACGUGGUGUCUCAGCACGAAGAACUUUCGCAACGGUGCAUACUCAGGGAGAACACUUCUUGAUAAUUAGUGAGAGAUCAUCUUAAAAUGCUACUGUCAAUCAAAGCAAAAAUAAGAUGUAUAACAGAUAAACAUCAUAUGCAAUCAAAAUAUGUGACAUGAUAUGGCCAUGAUCAUCUUGCGCCUUUGUUCUCCAUCUCCAAAUUACUGUCAUGAUCUCUAUCGUCACUGGCACGACACCAUGAUAUUCAUCAUCUUGAUCUAUAUCAAUGUGUCGUCACAUGGUCGUCUCGCCAACUAUUGCUCUUGCAACUAUUGCUAUCGCAUAGCGAUAAAGUAAAGCAAUUAUUUGGCACUUGCAUCUUAUGCAACAAAGAGACAACCAUAGGGCUUCUGCCAGUUGCCGAUAACUUCAACAAAACAUGAUCAUCUCAUACAACAACUUAUAUCUCAUCACGUCUUGACCAUAUCACAUCACAACAUGCCCUGCAAAAACAAGUUAGACGUCCUCUACUUUGUUGUUGCAAGUUUUACGUGGCUGCUACGGGCUGAGCAAGAACCGUUCUUACCUACGCAUCAAAACCACAACGAUAGUUUGUCAAGUUGGUGCUGUUUUAACCUUCGCAAGGACCGGGCGUAGCCACACUCGGUUCAAAUAAAGUUAGAGAAACAGACACCCGCUAGUCACCUGUGUGCAAAGCACGGCGGUAAAACCAGUCUCGCGUAAGCGUACGCGUAAUGUCGGUCCAGGCCGCUUCAUCCAACAAUACCGCUGAACCAAAGUAUGACAUGCUGGUAAGCAGUAUGACUUGUAUCGCCCACAACUCACUUGUGUUCUACUCGUGCAUAUAACAUCAACGCACAAAACCUAGGCUCUGAUACCACUAUUGGGGAACGUAGUAAUUUCAAAAAUUUUCCUACGCACACGCAAGAUCAUGGUGAUGACAUAGCAACAAGAGGGGAGAGUGUUGUCCAUGUACCCUCGUAGACCAUAAGCGGAAGCGUUAUGACAACGCGGUUGAUGUAGUACGUCUUCACGAUCCGACCGAUCCAAGUACUGAACGUACGGCACCUCCGAGUUCAGCACACGUUCAGCUCGAUGACGAUCCCCGGGCUCCGAUCCAGCAAGGCGUCGGGGAUGAGUUCCGUCAGCACGAUGGUGUGGUGACGAUGAUGAUGUUCUACCGGCGCAGGGCUUCGCCGAAACUCCACGACGAUAUGACCGAGGUGGAAUAUGUUGGAGGGGGCCACCGCACACGGCUAAGGAACGAUCCGUAGAUCAACUUGUGUGUCAUGGGGUGCCCCCCUGCCCCCGUAUAUAAAGGAGCAAGGGGGAGGAGGCCGGCCCUAGGAGGGGGCGCGCCAAGUGUGGAGUCCUACUAGGAUUCCCUAGUCCUAGUAGGAUUCCACCUCCCUUGUUGGAGUAGGAGAAGGGGAAAGAGGUGGAGAGGAAGAAGGAAAGGGGGGCUGCACCCCUUGUCCAAUUCGGACCAUAGGGGGGGCGCAGGCCUCCUUCCUUUUGGCCUCUCUCCUCUAUUCCCGUAUGGCCCAAUAAGGCCCAUAUACUCCCCGGUGAAUUCCCGUAACUCUCCGGUACUCCGAAAAAUACCCGAAUCACUCGGAACCUUUCCGAACUCCGAAUAUAGUCGUCAAAUAUAUCGAUCUUUACGUCUCGACCAUUUCGAGACUCCUCGUCAUGUCCCCGAUCUCAUCUGGGACUCCGAACUCCUUCGGUACAUCAAAACUCAUAAACUCAUAAUAUAAUUGUCAUCGAAACCUUAAGCGUGCGGACCCUACGGGUUCGAGAACUAUGUAGACAUGACCUAGAACUAUUCUUGGUCAAUAACCAAUAGCGGAACCUGGAUGCCCAUAUUGGCUCCUACAUAUUCUACGAAGAUCUUUAUCGGUCAAACCGCAUAACAACAUACUUUGUUCCCUUUGUCAUCGGUAUGUUACUUGCCCGAGAUUCGAUCGUCGGUAUCCAAUACCUAGUUCAAUCUCGUUACCGGCAAGUCUCUUUACUCGUUACGUAAUGCACCAUUCCGUAACUAACUCAUUAGCUACAUUUCUUGCAAGGCUUAUAGUGAUGUGCAUUACCGAGAGGGCCCAGAGAUACCUCUCCGACAAUCGGAGUGACAAAACCUAAUCUCGAAAUACGCCAACCCAACAUGUACCUUUGGAGACACCUGUAGUACUCCUUUAUAAUCACCCAGUUACGUUGUGACAUUUGGUAGCACCCAAAGUGUUCCUCCGGCAAACGGGAGUUGCAUAAUCUCAUAGUUACAGGAACAUGUAUAAGUCAUGAAGAAAGCAAUAGCAACAUACUAAACGAUCAAGUGCUAGGCUAACGGAAUGGGUCAUGUCAAUCACAUCAUUCUCCUAAUGAUGUGAUCCCGUUAAUCAAAUGACAACUCUUUUGUCCAUGGCUAGGAAACUUAACCAUCUUUGAUUCACGAGCUAGUCAAGUAGAGGCAUACUAGUGACACUAUGUUUGUCUAUGUAUUCACACAUGUAUUAUGUUUCCGGUUAAUACAAUUCUAGCAUGAAUAAUAAACAUUUAUCAUGAAAUAAGGAAAUAAGUAAUAACUUUAUUAUUGCCUCUAGGGCAUAUUUCCUUCAUAACCAAUAUCUGCCAAAAAGAACUAGUGAAAACAGGAUCUCUGUCUGACACAAUAGUUUCUAGCAUUCCAUGAGGUUUGUACAUGUUAUCCAAGAAAAUUUCAGCCACUUUUUGAGCAGUGUAAGGAUGUUUGAUGGGCAUGAAAUGACCAUAUUUAGUGAAUUUGUCAAUAACUAGUAGAAUGCAGUCAUAUGAGAAGGAAGAAGGCAACCCUGUGAUAAAGUCCAUUGUAACAGUCUCCCAUGCUUGUUUAGGAACUGGUAAUGACGAAAGAAGUCCUGGAUAAUUAACUCUUUCUACUUUAGACUGCUGACAUACCAUACAAGACUGCACCUUCUGUCUGAUAAAAUGCUUCAUACCAACCCAGCGAAAUAGAGAGUGUAUUCUUCUGUAAGUGACAGGGAAUCCUGAACGCCCUCCUACUGGACUAUCAUGGAAUCCAGAGAAUAUUUUGGCAUGUAUGUCAGGAUGAUUACCAAUCCAGAUGCACCCUUUAUAUCUGAGUAUCCCCUGGAUUAACUGAUAUUUAGGUUUAGCAUUGGAAUCAACAACAAGUUGUUGCAAGAGUUCAAUUGCUUUAUCAUCAUGUUCAUAACUAGCAACAAUUUCCUCCAUCCAGACAGGUUGAGCUCUGGAUAUACUAAGUACUUGUGAGUUGGGUAGCCUUCUGGACAAGGCAUCAACAACUGAGUUUUCAAUCCCUUUCUUGUACACAAUCUGAUAAUUAAGUCCCGUAUGUUUUGUGAGAGCCUUUUGUUGCCAAACUGUGUGAAGUUUCUGGUUCUGCAAAUGAACCAAACUUUUCUGAUCAAUUCUAAUGGUAAACUGUUGCACAUGAAAAUAAGGUUUCCAUUGUUCAAUUGCAAGGAGAAUGGCCAUGUAUUCUUUCUCGUAGACAGAUAGAGCUCUGUUUUUUGGUCCAAGUGCUUUGCUGACAUAUGCCAGGGGAUGGCCUUCCUGCAUGAGCACAACCCCAAUUCCUUUUCCACAUGCAUCUGUUUCAAUGACACAGGGCUUCUCAAAAUUGGGGAGAGCUAAAACUGGUGCUUCUACAAGUGCUUUCUCAGGAUAGCAAAAGCUUGUUCUGUAACUGUGGUCCACACAAAGGGAACCCCUUUCUUAAGUAAUUCUGUCAAAGGCCUGGUAAUGAUGCCAUAGUGCUUAAUAAAUUUUCUGUAAUAUCCACUAAGCCCUAGAAAUCCUCUGACCUCCUUCACAUUCUGAGGAACUGCCCACUAUUGAACUAUCUGAAUUUUACUAGGGUCAAUAGCCACACCAGCAGCACUAAUGACAUGCCCUAGAUAAGCUACUUGCUGCUGAGCAAAAGCACAUUUGGACAACUUAACAUGCCAUUGAUCAGCCUGCAAAAUGGAAAGGACUUGUCUCACAUGAAGGACAUGCUCUUUAUAAGUUUUACUGAACACCAGUAUAUCAUCAAAGAACACCAGAAUGUUUUUCCUGUUCACUGGAAAUAAGGAAGUGUUCAUUCCUCCUUGAAAUGUGUUUGGCCCACCUGUAAGACCCAUAGCCAGUGAUAUGUCUCAAACGUAUCUACUUUUCCAAACACUUUUGCCAUGUUUUGGAUUCUAACUUGCAUGAUUUGAAUGAAACUAACCCGGACUGACGCUGUUUUCAGCAGAACUGCCAUGAUGUUGUUUUAUGCGUAGAAAACAAAAGUUCUCGGAACGACCUGAAAAUCCACGGAGACAAGUUUUGGAAAAUAUAAAAAAUACUGGCAAAAGAAUCAAGACUAGGGGGCCCACACUCUGUCCACGAGGGUGGGGGGCGUGCCCACCCCCUUGGGCGCGCCCCCUGUCUCGUGGCCCCCUGAGGCUCCACCGACCUCAACUCCAACUCCAUAUAUUCCGUUUCGUGGAGAAAAAAAAUCAGAGAGAAAGUUUCAUCGCGUUUUACGAUACGGAGCCGCCACCAAGCCCUAAUCUCUCUCGGGAGGGCUGAUCUGGAGUCUGUUCGGGGCUCCGGAGAGGGGGAUUCAUCGCCGUCGUCAUCAUCAACCAUCCUCCAUCACCAAUUUCAUGAUGCUCACCGCCGUGCGUGAAUAAUUCCAUCGUAGGCUUGCUGGACGGUGAUGGGUUGGAUGAGAUUUAUCAUGUAAUCAAGUUAGUUUUGAUAGGAUUUGAUCCCUAGUAUCCACUAUCUUCUGAGAUUGAUGUUGCUAUGACUUUGCUAUGCUUAAAGCUUGUCACUAGGGCCCGAGUGCCAUGAUUUCAGAUCUGAACCUAUUAUGUUUUCAUGAAAAUAUGUGUGUUCUUGAUCCUAUCUUGCAAGUCUAUAGUCACCUAUUAUGUGUUAUGAUCCGACAACCCCGAAGUGACAAUAAUCGGGAUACUUCUCGGUGAUGACCGUAGUUUGAGGAGUUCAUGUAUUCACUAUGUGUUAAUGCUUUGGUCUGGUUCUCUACUAAAAGGAGGCCUUAAUAUCCCUUAGUUUCUGCUAGGACCCCGCUACCACGGGAGGGUAGGACAAAAGAUGUCAUGCAAAUUCUUUUCCAUAAGCACGUAUGACUAUAUACGGAAUACAUGCCUACAUUACAUUGAUGAAUUGGAGCUAGUUCUAUGUCACCCUAUGUUAUAGCUAUUACAUGAGGAAUCGCAUCCGACAUAAUUAUCCAUCACUGAUCCAAUGCCUACGAGCUUUUCACAUCUUGUGCGUCGCUUAUUUACUUUUCUGUUGCUACUUUUACAACUACUACAAAACUAUUAUCUUUACUUUUGCCACUGUUACCUUUAUUAUUAUACUACUUUUGUCGGGGAGGCUGACCCACGAACACCUAUGGGACCGGCGGACCGAACCCCUUUCGGUCCGGCGGGGGGCGGAGAUCGCAUGAAGAGCAGAUCGAGGCAAAGCACACGAGCGGUUUACCCAGCUUCGGAGCUCUCCGGAGAGAUAAUACUCCUACUGCUGCAUGUCUGAGUGUAUUGAGUUUUUGCUCGGGAGCGCUGAGUGCUACAGUACACACUAGCUGCUAACGAGACCGAGCGUGAGUGUUUUCUGGCUUCGAACCCCCCUCUACGUUGCGUAUGGGCCUCCUUUUAUAUGCUCAAGGGGUCACCGAUAGGUGGCAACAUAGACAAGGGCAAAAAUGGAAAGGAAUUAUGGUUGGUACAACUACUUGUACAGUGUAUCAUACCUAACCCUGACGGCAGGGGACAAAGGCAUUAAAUGCCCGUCUGUGUUGCCCAAACAGUGCAAAAAGGGACCGUCAGGGACGCCACCGCUUGUCACGAUGGCAGUCUUGUCAGCGUCGCUUGCCACCUCGCACCGCUGGCUGCACAGCCUCUUGCCACGCGCACCUGGAAAGGUCUCAGGGCGACACGUUGGUGGAUGUGCUGGAGCGCGGGUAUAGAGUGGUAGCUUGCCGCGGCAAGCGCCUUUCCGCGGUCGUUGUCUUGUCGCGUCCGGAAGAUUGUCGCUCACCGGGCCUUGCCGGGACGCGUGGCGCGUUGCGGCAAGUUCCUUGAGGUGCCUUGGUUGGCCUUCCCGGCAAGCUCCUCUUGCCGGGGCCUUGUCUCCUUGGCUUGAAUACUUUGUUCUUGAAUGGCUCCAAUGGAACCACGGAGGACCUUGGCGGUCACCCGGCAAGCCUUGCCGCGGGGUGCUGCGACUGCCCGUGCACAAAUUCGGGAUACUAGGGUACCCCUACUCUAGUACGCCGACAGGAGCCGCCGGGCCUGGGCCACACACGGUGCCGAGCGCUGUUGGGCCAGGCCCAAAACAGGGCACGGGCACGCGCGGCCUGGGUUACGCCGUAUCUUACUCCGUAUCCACCGCGCCCUCCCCGAACGGCACGCGUUGAAUGCGGCGUCGUGGGAGAGAUCAUGGGUGGUUUCUUUAUUCGGAAAGAUGGAACCUCCGCCCCCUCCCUCUUUAUAAGCAGGGGAAACAGGGACAGUUCGCCCAUCUCGCCAGUUGCUGUUCCAAUCUCAGAAAACUCCGCCGCUCCCCCCUUCUUCUCAAAGCCGAAAGAGUGUAGCGCUUCGCCCCCCAUCGCCACCAGCACCACCAACGCCGUAGAUCUCCCCCACCACCUCCGCCAUGGCUCCGAAAGUCGGCAAGGGGAAGGGCGUGAAGUCGACCGAGGCGCAGCGGCUCGCGGCGCUGCGAAAGGAGCGGACGACCUUCCCCCCCAAGCUCGCUGCGAAGGAGCUGAGGGAGUACUACUACCUCUUCUGGUCGACGGAGACGCGAGCGCAUUCGCGCACGAAGGUACUCUCCGCCGCCGCUUCGGAACGGCCUCCGAAUGGAUAUCCCUUCUUCGCGUUGUUCUUCUACUGCGGGCUCUGUCCGCUUUUCUCUGAAUUUUUCUGCGACGUUAUGAACACCUACGGGUUCCACCUCCUUGACUUCACCCCCAAUGCCGUUCUGACCAUGGCAGUUUUCGCACAUCUCUGCGAAAACUUUAUCGGAGUCCAUCCAAAUGUAGCUCUUUUCCGCCACUUCUUUAUGCCCCGAGUUGAGAGAGGAGAGCCUUUAUCCGGUGGAAUCGCCUGGAUCUCGAGAGCUGGCAAGAAGGAGGCCUAUCUGGAGGGAGAGCUCUGCGGCAAGUGGGAGGAAUGGAGAGCAGACUGGUGCUGGAUCGUCGAGGAGAACCUGCAGCCAUUUACCGCCCAGCGCCAAGCCCCAAUAGUGCGCGGAAACGAUUGGAGCAGCGUGGCCCCAGAAGACGAUAGGCUGAAGAUUGCCGUCACCCGGAUCCCGCGCCUCAGGCUUGCCGGGCUCACUGUAGGCGCCGUUGGCGCAGAUUUUCUUCGCCGCCGCAUCGCCCCCCUGCAGGAGAGGAGGAGACCCGCCUGGGAAUUCGGGGGUGCGGCUGACAUCAUGAGGCUGCGCCCGGGCCACAACUUCAACUUCACUGUCCUGGAACUGGACGCGAUGCUCAAGGAAUUGUUCAAGCACGACCCUCAACAUCCCGAAUGGUUCAGGUUGCCGAAGGGUGUCGUUCCGCUGUGCAACAACUCCUCGCUCGAUCGCAUCCGUGCAAUGAUGCCGCUGUGCGAUUCGCAUGGAAUUGUCCCAACUUGGCAAGAGCCUGCAGACGAUGUCGUGCAGGAGUUCUUCGACGGCUUGGUAGAAGUGCUGGCCCGCUCUGAUGAGCAGAAAAGCCUCACCCUCGACACCACCGAUGCGGAGAUGCAGCGCAUCACCACCAGGGCAGAAGAGGCGGCGGCAGCCACUGCCGCGGGCGAGUUUGGAUUCACAGUGGAGGAGGCAGAGGCAGCAGAGGCGGCAAGCCUUGCCGAGCGAGAUGAGCUUGCUGGCGAGGGAGAACUUGCCGGUGAGGGAGAGCUUGCCGGGCCUGAAGUCGAGUCGGGCGAUCCCGCCGAGGGUGCGAGCGGCUCGUUGGAGACCAACUCCUCUUCCUCCUCGUCUUCAGACAGCCCGCCGCAAGCAGAGCCCCCAGCUCCACCAAGAAGGCGUCUCCGCAAGGCCGGGGACGUAGCGGGCCGGCAGACAAGUCAACAGCCGCCGCGCCGCGCGACAUGCUCUACCGCGACAAGCACUGUUGCCGCGGGGGCAUCUCACGCCGCUGCGGCAAGUGGAGCGGGGUCCUCCCGGACCACCGCUUCUACUCCUGCCGCUGCCCCCGCCAAGCGGUUAAGGGAACCCACUCCUCUGCCUCGUCGCGCCAAAGGUGGGCCGGACUUCGACCUCUCCGCGCUCAGCUCCGACGAGGAAGAAGAAGAGUAAGAUUCUUUGCUGUACUUGUAGUUCUUGAAUUCUUGCUGUUUUGUCUUGUAUCUGAUUUGCUUUACUCUGAACCCAUUCCUUUUCAGGACCCUGGCCCAGAGAGCGGUGAAGAGAGCCAAGGUCCCGGUGAUUGUCAUCAAGGACGAACCCACCGCGACAACGGGGGGUGUGUCCGAGACCAUCUUGCCGGACCCGGCAACUAUUCCCCAAAGCAGCCCCCAGCGCAGCCCCCAGUGUAAGUACAUGGUUUACUUCCCGCUGUUAGGCGCGCAUGGGUGUUCUUUCUUUGCUGACAUCUGACUAUUGGUUUGGGUAGGAGCAGAGCAGCCUCACCAGGAGCGCCCGGAAGCCGCCCCUGACAUGCCAUCUGCUUCGACUACACCGCCAAGGGAGGAUUCCCCGGCAAGGGAGCGUUCUCUGGCAAGGGAGAAGUCCCCGGCAAGGGAGAGUUCUUCGGCAAGGGACAGCACCAGCGACCCCCCGGUGGCGGAGACCACGACCAUGGAGCCCAGUACAGGUAAUCCUUUUGCUUGAAAACUUCCCUUGGGUUCUUCUUCUUCUGAUCUUCUUUUUGGAUAUUUGCUUGACUUUUCUCCCUCUUCCGGCCUUCAGAUCCACUUGUCACGGAGCCGAUGGAGACCGAGGUUGCCGGCAAGGAGAACGCGCGCGGCAAUACCGACAACGCCGCUGCCACCGAAGAAGCAGCUGACGCUGAUGGGCCCGCCGGCGAAGAGGCCGCCAAAGCUGCCGCCGCAGAAGCUGGCGAGGGGUCCGGCGAUCGCACUGACGGCCCCGAGGCCGCAGGAGCGCAAGGCGCUACGCCGACCGCCGAUCCCUCCGCCGCCGCCGCAGCGUCAGGCUCCGAAGAGCUCCAGCCCGGCGCUUAUUUGAAGGCCGGUGAGGGCGUCUUCAUCAAGCUCCCCUGGGCGUCAAGCUCCAGGGCGCCGGUCGAAGGAGAAACCUUUGAUGGAGAGGUGCUCGCCUCCGCUGGGCUGACGCUGGUUGACGCGCCGAGCAGCAGCAGCGACGAGCCCGAGGAGGAGCGGCUGCUGCGGAAGUUGUUGUCGCUCUACCGCGCUCGGCAGGCCAAGCUGGAGUCCUGAGAAGCGCUUGCCGCGAAGGCGGGAGUGGACAUCGAGAAGCACGCGGAGGAGCUCCAGGGUCGUAACCAGGAAGCUCUCCGGUCCCUGGCAGAGGAGCGGGAGCAACUCACCGAGGCGCGGAAAGCCUUCCUCUUCGAGAAGGCUGAAGCCGAAGAGCAACAGCGGCUUGUUGCCGAGGAGCUGUUUGCGCGGGAGGGCGAGUUGGAGCAGCGGAAAGUCAACCUUGACAGCCACGAGGAGGAGCUUGCUGCGCGCGAGCAAACAUUCGGCGGGGCUCUCAAGGAAGCAGAGGAUGCUGCCGCAGCUGCCGAGGCCGCCAAGAAGGAGCUGGAGACGAAGGUGGUGCAGCUGGAGGCCGAUCUCAAGACGAGCGGUGAAGAGCUUGCCACGCUCAAGCGUGAGCGCGAGAAGGACGCCUACACCCUUGGCGAGCUGCAAGGUCGUCUCGUCGAGAAGGGCAAGGAGCUUAGCGCCGCCAAGGACUCCAACGCAGAUCUUGAGUUGAAGCUGGCUACUUUGACCAAGACGCUGGACGGCGCCAGGGAGCGGGAGGUGGCCUUGAAGGAGCAGAUCAAGGCCGACGAGGCGCUGCUGGCGAGUGCCGUCGUCACCCAGAACACCUUCAGGGAGAAUGUGGAGCACUGGACGGAGGGUCUCGUGGAUGUUGCCGUAGCCAUUGACAGGGAGCUGGCGCAGCUGGGGAAGGAGGAUUUCGGGUAUUCCUCCGAUGAGAACCUCCAACCCAGCGUCAAGCUCACCUUGUUCUUCAAAGGCGUGGCGACGGCCCUCCAGCCACUCCGGGAGAGAAUCCCAAAGCAGCAGGCCGAUGAGUCACGCAUGAUCUGCGCAGGAGUUCUUCAAAAGGUGUUGGUGAAGGUGGCCUUCUGCAACCCAGGCCUCAACCUCACCAACGUCCUCAAGACCUUGCCUCCGGAAGCUGAUCUGGAAGCGCUCAAGACCCUUGUCGCACCCAUUGUGAACAAGGUGAGAGAGGUCAAGAGGGUUGAGGGCGAUCUCGUAGAUUAGGCCGCCCGUUUUCUCCUUUUCUUGUCGCUGCUAGUCAUGUUAUGAGAACAAUACGUUAGAGCUGCGACAAGCUAUCUUGUAAUAUAACUUUCUUUUGGGUAGCGAUUGCUAUGUUAUUUCCUUUACUUGAUUCCUUCCUUUGUAUGUUUUUGCCCUACGCUUUUAGGGAACUUGCCGGUGCAGGCACCUUAGCCACGAGCGCUGAGUGCGGGACGUCAGCAGCCUGCUGGCGGUGCCGCUACCGACAAGAAACCUUGUCGCAACUAGUCGCAGCUCACUUAAGUUGUUGAGCGGACUCGAAACAAAGUAAGGGCGCAACUAGCUACGAGUUGGUUCUUCCGCGCACAGGUUUUCCAUACAAAGCACGGUCCUUCGAGGAAGAUAACUUAAAAAAAA
Molecule: long non-coding RNA, 78689 nt
Filed under: Triticum aestivum (bread wheat)
Lineage: Eukaryota; Viridiplantae; Streptophyta; Magnoliopsida; Poales; Poaceae
Description: long non-coding RNA (TAES_LNC011315)
Rfam family: MIR1120/MIR1122 microRNA precursor family (bases 27129-27263)
Source: RNAcentral